This 61345-nucleotide long non-coding RNA is filed under the name Hordeum vulgare. RNAcentral's name for it is "long non-coding RNA (HVUL_LNC017594)". Lineage: Eukaryota; Viridiplantae; Streptophyta; Magnoliopsida; Poales; Poaceae. The record is from RNAcentral.
CUCCUCUCCACCGAGACCUUCACCUUCGCCGACAACGCCCGCGGCAAGCGGACGACGCGCGUGCCCAACGUCAACUUCGGCUGCGGCACGACCUUCGUCGGCUCCUUCAUCGGGGACGGCCUCGUCGGCCUCGGCAACAGCAACCUGUCCCUCGUCACGCAGCUCGGCGCGCACGCCUCGGUCGGCCGGAGGUUCUCCUACUGCCUCGUGCCCUACUCCAUCAACGCCUCCUCCGCUCUCAACUUCGGCGCCCGCGCCGCCGUGACGGAGCCGGGAGCGGCCACGACGCCGCUGGUCCCGUCCAGGGUGAAGACCUACUACACCAUCGACCUCGUGUCCGUCAAGGUCGGCCACGCGACCUACAAGGCGCCGCACCGGUCGUCCCCCGCCAUCGUCGACUCCGGCACAACGCUGACGUUCCUCGACAAGGCGCUGCUAGACCCACUGGUGAAGGAGCUGGCCGGGCGGAUCAAGCUCCCGAAGGCCGCGCCGCGGGCGGACCUCGGCCUGCCGCUGUGCUACAACGUGAGCGGGCUACGGGGRGGGCAGRAUCGGCGGCGAAGACUCCCKUGACGUGAGCGUGGGCUGGGCGGCGGCGCGGCNNNNNNNNNNNNNNNNNNNNNNNNNNNNNNNNNNNNNNNNNNNNNNNNNNNNNNNNNNNNNNNNNNNNNNNNNNNNNNNNNNNNNNNNNNNNNNNNNNNNGGUGAGGAGCGUUCAGGAGGCUGCGCAGGGGACAGACCCCAUGCUCGGCGAGGAGGUGCGCCGCCGGGCCUCGCUCCAAGCCGCGAGGUACUAGCAGGCCUUAUGGCGCUAUCACUGCCGCAACAUCCACUACAGGACCGUUGAAGUCAGUGACCUCGUCCUGAGGCGGGUUCAGUCCAGGGAGGGCUUGCAUAAGCUCUCGCCCAUGUGGGAGUGCCCGUUCAAGGUCGCCCAUGUCUCCGGUAUUAGCGCCGUGCACCUGGGGACUCACGAGGGUGUUCCCAUCUAGAAUGCUUCAAACAUCCAACUUCUCCGGAUGUUCCACCCGCAAUGCCUCUGCCCUGCCUCUGCAUCGUCCUACAAUUCUUUUGGAACCUACUUCAUCUCGUGACACUCUCACAUAAUAAAGAGCUGCGGCUAUAUAUGCCUGGCCGCCCGUCCGGAGGGACCGGGGGACGGGGUCCCCCUCCCGACCGGUCCCUAGGUCGGCCACUCCCCUGCCACGUCCGGCGGUCGGGGAGAACGGACGGAGGCAAGUCCAACUCGACGUCCGACCAAGUCGACUAUCGCCCGACAACGUGGACAAGCAAANNNNNNNNNNNNNNNNNNNNNNNNNNNNNNNNNNNNNNNNNNNNNNNNNNNNNNNNNNNNNNNNNNNNNNNNNNNNNNNNNNNNNNNNNNNNNNNNNNNNAAAAAAUCAGGGGAGCCUCGAAAAAACUUUUCCGCCGCCGCAAGCUUCCAUUUCCGCAAGAUCUCAUCUGGAGACCCUUCCCAGCGCCCUGCCGGAGGGGACUUUGGAGUUGGAGGGCUUCUUCAUCAUCAUCAUCGCCCCUCCAAUGACUCGUGAGUAGUUCACUUCAGACCUACGGGUCCGUAGUUAGUAUCUAGAUGGCUUCUUCUCUCUCUUGGAUCUUCAAUACAAAGUUCUCCAUGAUCUUCAUGGAGAUCUAUCCAAUGUAAUCUUCUUUGGUGGUGUGUUUGUCGAGAUCCGAUGAAUUGUGGAUUUGUGAUCAGAUUAUCUAUGAUAUAUAUUUGAGUCUUUGCUGAUUUCUUAUAUGCAUGAUUUGAUAUCCUUGUAAGUCUCUCCGAGUUCUUGGGKUUUGUUGGCCAACUAGAUCUAUGAUUCUUGCAAUGGGAGAAGUGCUUGGGUUUGGGUUCUGCCAUGUGGUGACCUUUCCAAUGACAGGUAGGGCACGUCAAGGCACGACANNNNNNNNNNNNNNNNNNNNNNNNNNNNNNNNNNNNNNNNNNNNNNNNNNNNNNNNNNNNNNNNNNNNNNNNNNNNNNNNNNNNNNNNNNNNNNNNNNNNAUUUUUUUCAAAAACAACUUCGAUGUUAGAUGAAGCAACCUUAGUGCUAAACAGAAGCAACUUUGAUGCUAGAUGAAUUGCAUUGUGUGUAUACACAUGAGUUGCUUGUUGAAUGCAUUGGAGUUGCGCAAGAACACACUAAAAGUUGCUUAACUUUUUUGUGAUACUCGAAUGCAAUUAUGGCAACUAUUUACAAAAAGCAGGCAACUGGACAUCAAUGGUAGGCAACUGAACAUCAACCGUAGGCAAUUGAUUAUCAAUAAUAGGACAACUAAGCAUCAAAAUUGAACAAUUUCAUAGUAUUUUGUAGGCAACUGAGCAUCAAAAUUAAGCAAUUUCACAAUAUUUGUAGGCAACUUAGCAUCAAUCAUAGGCAACUUAGCAUCAUUGUUUAAUUAUGUAAAGCUUAUAGAGGUGAAUCUAGUCAAAUGUUAGUCACGUACGUAACCUAGUAAGAAAGUACUUCGUCGUACUUAAGUAGUAUUACGUACUAACGUAAACCGGGGGGUAAAAGGGGGGGAAAGGUUAGGUUCGUCGUUCCGUACCUUAAGUACGAACUUAAAAAGNNNNNNNNNNNNNNNNNNNNNNNNNNNNNNNNNNNNNNNNNNNNNNNNNNNNNNNNNNNNNNNNNNNNNNNNNNNNNNNNNNNNNNNNNNNNNNNNNNNNGUUCUCGUAUGUAAGUUUUAGUUUAUUAUGUUAAGAUAGUCUUUGUACUUUCGGUUGAACUUUUAUUAACUAAGUUACUUAUUAACAAGAAUACUGUAUACCUUUUUAGUAACUAAAAAAAAGAAAAAUAAAAAAGUUUUACUAUAGUUUUCUUAAUUAAAAUUAAGUAGAAAAUACAUGAACUGCUUCAAUAACUAGUACUCUUACUGUAAACAAAUAUAAGAUGUUUUAGGUUCAGUAUAAAGACCUCAUUUGUUUCCAUGGAGUCCUGAAAUAGCAGCAGAACCCAACAUCACCACUUUCCUGUACCUCCCAGUGAAAGCAGCAACCAAUUACCAUACAAGUCAUUUAAGCAUGAAGGCUUACAGUCAAUGUCAAUAUCCCUAGAGAGGCACUUGUAAUAUCCCAAAGCAUAUCUUGCGAGAGGGCAUAGGAAGAGCAGCUGUUCUAGAGCUUCAUGCUCAUCACAAAACUCACNCUUAAAACGUUACCGUAAACCGUUUACCGUAACGUUUACCCGUAACGUUACCCGUUACCGUUUACGGGUACCCGUAACGGUAAACGUUACGGUACCGUAAACGUUUUACCGGGUACCGUUAACCGGUAACCCGUAAACGUACGUACGGUAAACCGUUAACGGGGUAACGUUACGGUAACGUACGGUAACGUUUACCGUACGGUACNNNNNNNNNNNNNNNNNNNNNNNNNNNNNNNNNNNNNNNNNNNNNNNNNNNNNNNNNNNNNNNNNNNNNNNNNNNNNNNNNNNNNNNNNNNNNNNNNNNNACGCCACGUAUGUGAGUUUAGUAUAGUUUCAGUGGUAAGCAUCCCUAUGCUAAUCAUAUCAACUAUAUGAUUCAUGAUCGACCUUUCGGUCUCAUGNGUUUCGAGGCCAUGUCUGCACAUGCUAGGCUCGUCAAGCUUAACCCGAGUGUUCCGCGUGUGCAACUGUUUUGCACCCAUUGUAUGUGAACGUGGAGUCUAUCACACCCGAUCAUCGCGUGGUGUCUCGAAACGACGAACUGUAGCAACGGUGCACAGUCGGGGAGAACACAAUUUCGUCUUGAAAUUUUAGUGAGAGAUCACCUCAUAAUGCUACCGUUGUUUUAAGCAAAAUAAGGUGCAAUAAAAGGAUUAACAUCACAUGCAAUUCAUAAGUGACAUGAUAUAGCCAUCAUCAUGUGCUUCUUGAUCUCCAUCACCAAAGCACCGGCAGUGAUUCCUUUCUUUGUCAGUCCGGCCSCACACCAUGAUCUCCAUCAACGUGUCGCCAGUCGGGGUUNUCGUGCUACUCAUGCUAUUACUAACUAAGCUACAUCCUAGACUAAUAUAAGUAAACGCUAUAUCGACAAGUACCAAACGUUAAACGUUUAAGGUUAAACACCCUAACCUUAGUUCGCCUUCCGUCGGUCCGGUUNNNNNNNNNNNNNNNNNNNNNNNNNNNNNNNNNNNNNNNNNNNNNNNNNNNNNNNNNNNNNNNNNNNNNNNNNNNNNNNNNNNNNNNNNNNNNNNNNNNNCCAAGUUCCCGAGCUCGCCGCCAUGGCGUUCGCCCCUGGCCUCCCGAGCCGUUCCCCACCGGCUGCUCUGUUCCGAGGCGCCGCGCUACUGUUCCUCGCCGUCCCCGUGCGCGCCUCCAGUGCCCUGCCCGGCCUCCUCCUGCCGAGGUUGCUGUUGCCUGCCUUGGCGUUGCUCGCCUUGCCAUGUGCUGUUUUGCUGCUAUUGCAUGCUGUUGCUGUUGCCUUUGCUCGUAGCUGCCUGCUGUGGCUGUCGCCGUAGCCACCGCCGAGUUGCUGCUAUAGUUGCCAAUGUUGUCGCUAUGCACGCGGCUGUAGCAUGCCUGAGGAUGCUGCCUGCCGAGUGCUCGUCCUGUUGCUCGCCGUAUUCGCUUGCCUGCUAUCGUCUUAGUUUAGGUUGUUAGUUACGUCGUUUGGUUCGGUUUCGUCCGUUUGGUUCGUCCGUUUCGUUCGGUCCGUUCGGUCCGUUCGGUCCCCGGUUAGUUCGGUUCCGUUUGGUUUCGGUNNNNNNNNNNNNNNNNNNNNNNNNNNNNNNNNNNNNNNNNNNNNNNNNNNNNNNNNNNNNNNNNNNNNNNNNNNNNNNNNNNNNNNNNNNNNNNNNNNNNAGUCACUUACACAUGCAUUAGUUGAGUUGUUUAUAUUCUGGACAGAAUCUCAUGUUAAUUUAUCUUGACAUGCAUGAACAUGGCAUAAUCAUACUCAUCACGAGAAAACGAUGACAAAAACAUUUGAAGAACAUCGUCAAUAGAGUAUCGGAUCAACCGGAAACUAUAAAACAAGUUACGAAGGCCUACGUGUUCAAAACAUCCACAAACACAAUUAUAUGGGCACUCAAAACCAUCAACCAUAGCUCACACAAAACCAUCAACCAUAGCUCACACAAGCACCAAAUGCACAAGCACCAAAAUACAAGUGACAUGGUGUUGGAUAACACACAAAACCAUCAACCAUAGCUCACACAAGCUCAAAAGCCAAUUUGACACCAAUCUGUUUACAACAGCAACAUAGCUACUUUGAUCACAAGAUGUAUAGCAGCUACAACCCUACUAAAUAAUWCAAACAAGACAAUUAAACUAGAAACCAUCCAACUUCAUUACCAACCUAUAACGAAGUAGACGAAAGCRAMGGGCCACAACAUACGAAUAGUAUUUANNNNNNNNNNNNNNNNNNNNNNNNNNNNNNNNNNNNNNNNNNNNNNNNNNNNNNNNNNNNNNNNNNNNNNNNNNNNNNNNNNNNNNNNNNNNNNNNNNNNAGGCUUGUGUGUGAUGUUGUAUUACCGAGUGGGCCCCGAGAUACCUCUCCGUCACACGGAGUGACAAAUCCCAGUCUUGAUCCAUACUAACUCAACGAACACCUUCGGAGAUACAUGUAGAGCACCUUUAUAGUCACCCAGUUACGUUGUGACAUUUGGUACACACAAGGCAUUCCUUUGGUGCCAGUGAGUUAUAUGAUCUCAUGGUCAUAGGAAUAAAUACUUGACACGCAGAAAAACUAGUAGCAACAAAAUGACAUGAUCAACAUGCUACAUUCAUUAGUUUGGGUCUAGUCCAUCACAUGAUUCUCCUAAUGAUGUGAUCCCAUUAUCAAGUAACGACACUUGCCUAUGGUCACGAAACCUUGACCAUCUUUGAUCAAUGAGCUAGUCAACUAGAGGCUUACUAGGGACAGUGUUUUGUCUAUGUAUCCACACAAGUAUUGUGUUUCCAAUCAAUACAAUUAUAGCAUGGAUAAUAAAUGAUUAUCAUGAACAAAGAAAUAUAAUAAUAACUAAUUUAUUAUUGCUUGUAGGGCAUAUUUCCAACAGUCUCCCACUUGCACUAGAGUCAAUAAUCUAGUUCACAUCACCAUGUGAUUCUAACGAAUCCAACACCCAUAUAGUUCUGGGGUCUGAUCACGUCUUGCUUGUGAGAGAGGUUUUAGUCAAUGGUUCUAAAACUUUCAGAUCCGUGUGUUCUUUACAAAUCUUUAUGUCAUCUUAUAGAUGCUGCUACUACGUGCUAUUCGGAAAUACUCCAAAUAUCUACUCUACUAUACGAAUCCGUUUCACUACUCAUAGUUAUUCGGAUCAGUGUCAAAGCUUGCAUCAACGUAACCCUUACGACGAACUCUUUAACCACCUCCAUAAUCGAGAAAAAUUCCUUAGUCCAUAAGUACUAAGGAUAACUUGACCGUUGUUCAGUGAUUCAAUCCUGGAUCACUCUCUGUACCUCUUAACACGACUUGUGGCAAGGCACACAGGGGAUAGGNNNNNNNNNNNNNNNNNNNNNNNNNNNNNNNNNNNNNNNNNNNNNNNNNNNNNNNNNNNNNNNNNNNNNNNNNNNNNNNNNNNNNNNNNNNNNNNNNNNNCUUUUCGGGUUAGUUCUUUUAACUUUUAGUUUACCUUCUUUUCGGUAGUUUUUUCCUUUACUACCUUAAAGGGUACGUAACAACUACUAUAGUUUUACUAAGAAUAAAAGAAGAAUACUCUACACUUUAUAAGAAGUAACUCAACAUAAAGAACACAUGAAACUAAUCAUGAUGUAUGCAAAUGUAUGCCUGUGCCAGUGUAGCAGGAUAUGCAAUGAAACUAGCGCGUCAUGUAGCGAUAAUAAGGGCAAGGCCCAACUAGCAUGCGGCUCCUCGGUCAAGGAAAAGCAUGUAUGUCAUGAAGAUCAAGUCAUGAGAUGGUGGAUGUUGCAUGGCAAUGUAUCUCGGAAAGGCUAUGGAAAUGCCUUAAUAGGUAGGUAUGGUGGCUGUUUUGAGGAAGGAUAUAAUGAGGCUUAUGAUGACAGAGCGUAUCAUGCCAAGGGUUUGGAUGCACCGGCGAAGUUUGCACCAACUCUCAAGAUGGAAGGAAGGACUAGUCGACGGUACCGGUAACGAAGGCGUACGUACGAACUAAANNNNNNNNNNNNNNNNNNNNNNNNNNNNNNNNNNNNNNNNNNNNNNNNNNNNNNNNNNNNNNNNNNNNNNNNNNNNNNNNNNNNNNNNNNNNNNNNNNNNUUGUUCUUUGGUAUGUACUUGCCCUAGAUUCGAUCGUCAGUAUCCGCAUACUUAUUUCAAUCUCGUUUACCGGUCAAGUCUCUUUACUCGUUCCGUAAUACAACGAUCCGCAACUUACACUAAGUCACAUUGCUUGCAAGGCUUGUGUAUGAUGUUCGUAUUACCGACGUGGGCCCCGAGAUACCUCUCCGUCACACGGAGUGACAAAUCCCAGUCUUGAUCCAUACUAACUCAACUAACACCUUCGGAGAUACCUGUAGAGCAUCUUUAUAGUCACCCAGUUACGUUGCGACGUUUUGAUACACNCAAAGCAUUCCUCCGGUGUCAGUGUGUUAUAUGAUCUCAUGGUCAUAGGAAUAAAUACUUGACACGCAGAAAACAGUAGCAACAAAAUGACACGAUCAACAUGCUAYGUCUAUUAGUUUGGGUCUAGUCCAUCACAUGAUUCUCCUAAUGAUGUGAUCCCGUUAUCAAGUGACAACACUUGCCUAUGGUCAGGAAACCUUGACCAUCUUUGAUCAACGAGCUAGUCAACUAGAGGCUUACUAGGGACAGUGUUUUGUCUAUGUAUCCACACAUGCACUAUGUUUCCAAUCAAUACAAUUAUAGCAUGGAUAAUAAACGAUUAUCAUGAACUAAGAAAUAUAAUAAUAACUAAUUUAUUAUUGCCUCUAGGGCAUAAUUUCCGAUAAGUCUCCCACUUGCACUAGAGUCAAUAAAUCUAGCUCACAUCACCAUGUGAUUCCAACGAAUCCAACACCCAUAUAGUUAUGGGGUCUAGAUCACGUAUUGCUCGUGAGACAGAUUUUAGCAACGGUUCUGAAACUUUCAGAUCCGUGCAUUCUUUACAAAUUCUUUAUGUCAUCUUACWGAUGCUUGCUACUAUGUNCUAGUCGAAAUCUACCAAAUNUCCUACUCUACUAUACGNNNNNNNNNNNNNNNNNNNNNNNNNNNNNNNNNNNNNNNNNNNNNNNNNNNNNNNNNNNNNNNNNNNNNNNNNNNNNNNNNNNNNNNNNNNNNNNNNNNNAUAGUCAUCCUACAUGUCACGAUCCUGUCUCGAGAAUGACCAUCUCACUCUCAUCACUAGUAAUGCAGGCUCUUUGCUAGCACAGAGAAAACACACACACAAAACCUUCUUCUGGCUCACCACUUCUUUCUCAGGUGGUCACCAUCUCAACCCAUCCACCCUCGGGCAUCAGUGGCACCCGACGUGGUUUUCGAAAAGUCUUUUGAAAUAACCUCCGUGGUACCAUCACCAUGCAUAUGCUCAUCCUACGCAUCGCACUACUAAUAAACCUAUUGKCUUUUUAUCUGCGUCGACCCUCAUAGAUGGUAGGGUCAUGCUAAAAUGCAAGUGCUAUCGAGGAACCGUCGGAAACACCAUAUCGAGGAUUUUACUGAUUCCAUCUUGAUCAUCUACAUUGGAAUGAAUAAUGAACAUGGAAUGCAUGAAAUAUUUUCUCACACAUGGUCAAAGGGCAGCUUCCCUUGGUCAGCAAAGUCUCCUAGGUCUUCGACGUUUUCGGGUCCAACUCCUUCGUCAAUCACGUGAUCUAUCAUCGUGAUAAUAAUNNNNNNNNNNNNNNNNNNNNNNNNNNNNNNNNNNNNNNNNNNNNNNNNNNNNNNNNNNNNNNNNNNNNNNNNNNNNNNNNNNNNNNNNNNNNNNNNNNNNACUUUUUGAGCAAGAAUAUUUUUUUGAAAUUAAAAUGAAAACUUAAACUACAAGAAUUUUUUGAAAUUCAAAAGAUUUAUUUGAAAGAAGACAUUUGAAAAAAGGGAAAAACAAAGAAUACUGAUAAAAGAAACAACAGAAAGAAAUCAAAAGAGAUGAAAACUAAUUGAAGUAGGCUAAAAAAAUCCAGGUCAUGUAGCAUGUUCUAUUCGUUGAAUGGGCCGGCCUAUCUCAUUCGCUACUUGACCUAUGUUUAAAUUUCUGCAACAUGCACUACAAGAAAAAAAUUAAUAAGCUGAGUGCCCGAAACACUAGACUUAUAACAGUUUACAUUGGGUUUAUAUAUAAGCCGAGUGUUUUCCCUGAUUUAUACCAUACAACUUACUAAGGACCGGCUUAUCAGGUGUAAGCUGAGAGUCACAACGAAAACACACAAUUUAUAUAUAAGCCAAGUGUUAACAGACACACGAUUUAUACAUGACGGCAUCCUGAUAGUAACGUCAAGCCAUAUGUUCGUUUAUAUAAGUUGAGUCACUUGCGCCUAUGCGAAGGGGCGAGUAUUUUCCACGGAAUGCACCAAAUAGGAAUUGUCUAGAUAGGAGUAUGGGCUGCCGAAAUAGCAGCCCAUAAGUGGGCAUAAUAAAAGCACAGGACCACAACUCUCGUUAUAGCUAGACUUUAAAACUUCUCAUUAUUAUACUACCAUAGAGGAAUAACUCAGAGUAACAUAAGGUUAACUACAAUUAAAUUUGUUUAUGUGUACUAAUUAUUAAUAAGAAAAUAUAAAUUAAUAAUAUANNNNNNNNNNNNNNNNNNNNNNNNNNNNNNNNNNNNNNNNNNNNNNNNNNNNNNNNNNNNNNNNNNNNNNNNNNNNNNNNNNNNNNNNNNNNNNNNNNNNAUACAAAAGGUAAAAAGGAAAAAUUGUAAAAAUCAAAAGGACUGUGAAUUCAAAAUUGUUCAUGGAUUUUGAAAAAAAGUUACAACAAACUGAAAAAAGUUCAUGAGUUUGCAAAAAGUUCGUUGAUUUUGUAAAAAAAGUACAUCAUUGUUUUAGAGUACACUGGUUUUGAAAAAAUAGUUCAUCGAUUUUGAAGAAAAUGUUUAUGAUUUUUAAAAAAUACGUGGGUUUUUGGGAAAGUUGCUUAAGUUGGUCAAAAAAUCAUGAAUGUUGAUAUUUGUUUCUAUAAAGUUGGUCAAAAUUUACGGAGUUUGACUUCAGACAAAUCUUAUAUGGAGAGUACAAAGGACCGGAGGGAGUACAUGCACAUUAUUGCUCCUAUGUUUUCUCUUAUUGUUUUUUGUGAGGAUCUUAUGUUUUCUCUUCUCCAACGAAGUUAUGCCCAACCGUUAUUGAGUCUUGGCGGGUGUAUGUGGUUCUCUUUGUGUCCUUAACUAAAUUGCCUAUUAUUCUUUUCAUCUUAAAUUUAUUGCUGUUUUGCUGUAGAAUUCAAUACUACUUUCUCAAUGUACAAUAUAUUAGGNNNNNNNNNNNNNNNNNNNNNNNNNNNNNNNNNNNNNNNNNNNNNNNNNNNNNNNNNNNNNNNNNNNNNNNNNNNNNNNNNNNNNNNNNNNNNNNNNNNNUGAUGAAUAUGAUAUUUGUCGACAAUAAUUGAAAGUGGGAUUGGAGAAGUCAUGACUUUAUUUGUAUGACAAUUACCACUAUUUUUGUAAGAGCGUCAACUUUGUCAUGCAUGUGGAUCAUGAAAAUAAUAUCCUAUGGGAUAGCUAUAUUGUUGAAUUUGAAAAUGAUCCCACGUGUAAUUGCUAUGAGAGAGGAAAAUAUUUUGGUAGAAACUUUUAUGUUACCAAAUCACCUCUCGUGAUGUUGAGAUUGCUCUUGUCUCUUUCUUCUUCCUUGCAUAUGGCAGCUAUUGGUUGUCUUGACAAUUUGUUUUCCUAUAAAAUGCCUAUGCAUAGGAAGUAUGUUAGACUUAGAUGUGAUUUUCACAUGCUUUAGGAUUCUCUCGUUGUGCUUCAAUUCUUGUCUUUUGUGAGAGCAUCAUUCAAUGCCUAACUAAGGGCGUUAAACAAAAAGCGCUUGUUGGGAGGCAACCCAACGAAUCUAUCAUUUUUCUUUCUGUUUUGUGUUUUUCACACUUUCAUAAUUCUGUUAUGAUUGUGUUUUUGUGUUUCUUUUUGCGUUUGUGCCAAGAAAAACCGUUACGAUUAGUCUUGGGGAUGAUCGUUUGGUCAUGCUGGAAAAGACAGAAACUUUCUACUCACGAAAAGAAUUUUCAUUUUUUUUCUGUAAGAGCUUUUGAGUUGAUUAUUUUUGCUUCUAAUUGCUACGUAAAUUCUUGAGACUGUCAUAAUUUUUCAGAAGUUUUGAAGUACCAGAGGUAUACGAAAUAUACAGAUCUCUACAGACUGGUCUGCUGUUAACAGAUUCUGUUUUUUGUUGUGUUGGUUGCUUAUUUUGAUGAAACUAUGGAUAGUAUCGGGGAUAUUAGCCAUGGAAGAUUGAAAGUACAGUAACCCAACAUCAGCAUAAGUAGAAUUUAAGUUUGCUACAGUACCUAAGGAAGUGGUGGUUUGCUUUCUUGUACUAAUGUUACCACGAGUUUCUGUUUAAGUUUCGUGUUGUUGAAGUUUUCAGUUUUGGGUGUAAGUUCUUAUNNNNNNNNNNNNNNNNNNNNNNNNNNNNNNNNNNNNNNNNNNNNNNNNNNNNNNNNNNNNNNNNNNNNNNNNNNNNNNNNNNNNNNNNNNNNNNNNNNNNACGUCCACGUUCCAUUUAAGUAUGGUGAGUAUGGUGGUUGCUGGCUAUAUGUUGUUGUCAUGUCAUCUAUAACCAAGCAUAUAGCUGACAAGUAGAAGAGUGAUAUAUAAAUAUGUACUAUUAUAUUGAUCUAUGGCACACCUCACUCUCUCACAUUGUCUCUUGGAGCAUGUGUUGCAAUUGGUUAUUAAUCUAUAGCUUGUUUCUCUUCUUCCUCCUCCAACUCAGCCAAAAAAUAAUAUUUAAUGUCUUACAACCUACCUACAUCAUCUUAUUGUAUUUCCUCUAAUAAUAGACAUACGCUUGAACAAACUUCCAACUAUUGCUUAUCUACAUCUCUAAUUAAGUGGUUGACUAAUUAAUUAAUUGCACUAAUGGCUUGAUUUCAUAAUUGAUUUGGCACACAAAAAUCCCUAUUUAAAUGGAUAUAAUUAAUUACAGCCGUAAUUAAUUGUUUGAUUAAUUAAUUAUAUUAAUGGCUUGAUUUUCAAAUUGAUUUGAUGCUUGGGUUUCAAAUUGUUUUUCCAUUAAUGACUAGAUACCAAUGAAACGGCACACAUACUCCUCUAUUGUUUUUUCUUUUGCUUUUGCAUUAGGGAAAUGUAGUGUUUUUUGUGCGUGUGAGAAUGUGGGAGUUGAUGCUAUUUUUUCGGUAGGGGGAUCGAAAGGGAGGGAUGUUGGAUGUACCACAUACAAUCCCAACUCCCUUUUAAUAUUAGAGAUAUGGUUAGGAAAAUUUUCUUACUACUUCCUCCAUUCCUUUAUGUAAGGUGUAUAAUUUUUGACACGGUGAUCAAGGCACAUAAGUAUAGAGUGUAGAAAAUNCGUGCGAUUAUGAUAGUGGCAGUAAUCAAUGAGUCUAGGAAAUAAAAGAUACACGCAAUCGAGAGAAAGAUUGGCUUUCUUUUUAACACAAGUGGCGUNNNNNNNNNNNNNNNNNNNNNNNNNNNNNNNNNNNNNNNNNNNNNNNNNNNNNNNNNNNNNNNNNNNNNNNNNNNNNNNNNNNNNNNNNNNNNNNNNNNNAUUAUUAUACUACCCAUAGAGGAAAUAACUUCAGGAGUAACAUAAGGUUUAACUCAAUAAAUUUGUUUAUGUGACAAUUAUUUAAUAAGGAAAAUAUAAAUUAAAUAAUAUGACUAGUUAUUCACACUAUGAGUAACAUCACACGUGUGAAGACAAAGUGAGUCUAUAAUAUAAAAUUUAAUGAAUGAAGUGUUACAUGACACCACAUAUGUUACUCUAUACAUAUGUUUCAUCGACAAAAAAAAAAAGAAUAACAUAUGCAUGUUAAUGGUCGAAGUUAUUCCACACUGACCAGUCUUAACGGUUCGUCCUCCAGAAAAUGAAGUUUAGUUUGCAAGCAUAGCAAAUCCUUGCAAAAACUGAGCUGAAAUGGAUUCAUCAAUUUUACAAGCUAAACUUGUCACCCUGGGCCAACAUAUGCUAUCAURCRWRSCGUUCCCAAUUACCAUGCUUCGCCGCUGCCCUCCUUCACUGGUUAAGCCGCUGCAUUAUUCUUAUACUCCCUUCGUUCCUAAAUAUAAAUCUUUUAAACGAUUUUACUAAGGGUCUACAUACGAAANNNNNNNNNNNNNNNNNNNNNNNNNNNNNNNNNNNNNNNNNNNNNNNNNNNNNNNNNNNNNNNNNNNNNNNNNNNNNNNNNNNNNNNNNNNNNNNNNNNNUAUUUUUCUAUUUCCUUUUCUAACACAAUGUCAAUUUUUUCUACACACAAUGACCUUUUAAUAUACAUAAAGAGCAUUUUUUAAACAUUUUUAAAAUACACGAUCUAUAAUUUUACAAAUAUAUUCAUUUCUUGUAUACAACAAUAACAUUUUUCAUACAUGAUUAUUAAAUUUUACAUACGUGAUUAACAUUUUUUUUAAUAUAUUUUUUCUAAGUAUUUUUUUAUGUAGGUUCUAAAUUUUGUGUAUACAUAUGAAACAUUAAUUGUAUACAUGUUUCACAUUUUUCAACUACAUGACAAACCUUUUUUCAGAAUGUAUAUUUUUGUUGUCUACAUUUGACACAUACAUUGUACUAUUUUCUUCAUAUACAUGAGUAACAUGAUUUAAACAUGUUUAAUUAAUUUUUUACAAAUAAUAGUUUCGUUGUUUUAUUUUYUCAUACACAAUGUACUAUUUUUAUAUACAUAAUAAAACUWUUAUUUAAUAUUCUAUUUAACAUAUUCCANNNNNNNNNNNNNNNNNNNNNNNNNNNNNNNNNNNNNNNNNNNNNNNNNNNNNNNNNNNNNNNNNNNNNNNNNNNNNNNNNNNNNNNNNNNNNNNNNNNNACCUUUCUCUUUCAUAGAUCUUCUUUCUUAUUGCAUAUCUUCACCACGGAGGAAUAGAAUACCUCUCUUCUUUUGAAUAGGUUCCGGAGGUGGUUCAGGGAGUGUCCAAUCAUCGACAUUUKKCAAUAUGUUAUUCAAUAAUUCUUCAUCUUGUCCGAAAGUUCUUUACCUUGAAAACACAACCAGCACAACUAUCUAGGAAAUCCCUAGAGGCAUCGGUUAUACCAUUAUAAAACAUAUCUAAGAAUUUCAUUUUYYUAAGAGAAUGAUCAGUCAAAGCUCUAAGUAACUGGAUAAGCCUCCCCCAAGCUUGAGGGAGAUUCUCUUCUUCAAUUUGCACAAAAUUAAAUAUUUCCUGUAAGGCAGGUUGUUUCUUAUGAGCAGGAAAAUAUUUUGCAGAAAAAUAAUAAAAGCAUAUCAUGGGGACUACGCAUACAACCAGGAGCCGGACAAAGGAACCAUUCCCUGACCUCGCCUUUUAGMKACGWRRSGWAAAAAGCUUAAGGAUAUAANNNNNNNNNNNNNNNNNNNNNNNNNNNNNNNNNNNNNNNNNNNNNNNNNNNNNNNNNNNNNNNNNNNNNNNNNNNNNNNNNNNNNNNNNNNNNNNNNNNNUAGGGCGAAUUCUUCUUGCUACUUCUCUUGUUUUGCGUCGGGUUUUCCCUUGAAGAUGACAGGGUGAUGCAGCACAGGAGCAGUAAGUAUUUCCCUCAGUUUGAGAACCAAGGUAUUGAUCCAGAAGGAGGGUCUCGUCAAGUCCAGAGUACCUGUGCAAACACAAACAAGCUUGCACCCAACGCUUCAAAGAGGUUGUCAAUCCCUUCAAGAUUGUUUGCAAAGUGAGAUCUGAAGGCGGAAAGUGCAACGAAGUAAAAAAGUGUAAGGCUGAAAAUAUGGUGUGGAGUAGUCCCGGGGGCCAUAGUGUUCACUAGAGGCUUCUCUCAAAAUAGCAAAUAUCACGGUGGGUGAACAAAUUACUGUCGAGCAAUUGAUAGAACCGCGCAAAGUCAUGACGAUAUCUAAGGCAAUGAUCAUACAUAUAGGCAUCACGUCCGAGACAAGUAGACCGAUACUUUCUGCAUCUACUACUAUUACUCCACACAUCGACCGCUAUCCAACAUGCAUCUAGUGUAUUGAGUUCAUGACGAACAGAGUAACGCCUUAAGCAAGAUGACAUGAUGUAGAGGGAUAUUCUCAAACCAAUGAUGAAAACCCCAUCUUUCUACCCUUGAUGGCAACAACAUGAUGCGUGCCUCGCUACCCCUUCUGUCACUGGGUGAGGUCACCGCAUGGUAUGAACCCAAAACCAAGCACUUCUCCCAUUGCAAGAAUCAUAGAUCUAGUUGGCCAAACAAAACCCACAACUCGAAGAGAAUUACAAGGAUAUGAAAUCAUGCAUAAGAGAGAUCAGAAGAAAUUCGUAUGUAACCUGAUCAUAAAUCCACAAUUCAUCGGAUCUCGACAAAUACACCGCAAAAGAAGAUUACAUCGGAUAGAUCUCCAUGAAGAUCAUGGAGAACUUUGUAUUGAAGAUCCAAGAGAGAGAAGAAGCCAUCUAGUUACUAGCUAUGGACCCGUAGGUCUAUGGUGAACUACUUACGCAUCAUCGGAGAGGUCAUGGUGUUGAUGAAUAAGCCCUCCGUGUACGAAUCCCUCCUCCGGCAGGGCACCAGAACGUGCCCCAGAUGGGAUCUUGCGAAGACAGAAGCUUGCGGCGACGGAAAAGUACUUUCAAUGAUCUCCUGAUUUUUUUGGGAUUUUUAGGGAAUAUAUAGGCGCAACCCCUAGAGCAGAGGGCGCCCAUGUUGGAAAUAUGCCCAAGAGGCAAUAAUAAAUUAGUUAUUAUUAUAUUUGUUUGUUCAUGAUAAUUGUUUAUUAUCCAUGCUAUAAUUGUAUUGAUUGGAAACACAAUACUUGUGUGGAUACAUAGGCAAAACACUGUCCCUAGUAAGCCUCUAGUUGACUAGCUCGUUGAUCAAAGAUGGUCAAGGUUUCCUGACCAUAGGCAAGUGUUGUUACUUGAUAACGGGAUCACGUCAUUAGGAGAAUCAUGUGAUGGACUAGACCCAAACUAAUGAACGUAGCAUGUUGAUCGUGUCAUUUUGUUGCUACUGUUUUUCUGCAUGUCAAGUAUUUAUUCCUAUGACCAUGAGAUCAUAUAACUCACUGGCACCGGAGGAAUGCCUUGUGUGUACCAAACGUCACAACGUAAUUGGGUGACAAUAAAGGUGCUCUACAGGUAUCUCCGAAGGUGUUUGUUGAGUUAGUAUGGAGCAAGACUGGGAUUUGUCACUCCGUGUGACAGAGAGGUAUCUUGGGGCCCACUCGGUAAUACAACAUCACGCACAAGCCUUGCAAGCAAUGUGACUUAGUGUAAGUCAUGGGAUCUUGUAUUACGGAAUGAGUAAAGAGACUUGCCAGUAAACGAGAUUGAAAUAGGUAUGCGGAUACUGACGAUCGAAUCUCGGGCAAGUAACAUACCGAAGGACAAAGGGAAUGACAUACGGGAUUAUAUGAAUCCUUGGCACCGAGGUUCAAACGAUAAGAUGUUCGUAGAAUAUGUAGGAUCCAAUAUGGGCAUCCAGGUCCCGCUAUUGGAUAUUGACCGAGGAGUCCCUCGGGUCAUGUCUACAUAGUUCUCGAACCCGCAGGGUCUGCACACUUAAGGUUCGGCGUUGUUUUAUGCGUAUUUGAGUUAUAUGGUUGGUUACCGAAUAUUGUUCGGAGUCUCGGAUGAGAUCACGGACGUCACGAGGGUUUCCGGAAUAGUCCGGAGACGAAGAUUGAUAUAUAGGAUGACCUCAUUUGAUUACCGUAAAGUUUUCGGCAUUACCGGGAAUGUACCGGGAGUGACGAAUGGUUUCCGGAUGUUCACCGGGGGGGCAGCCCACCCCGGGGAAGCUCAUAGGACUUAGGGGUGCCGCACCAGCCCUUAGUGGCUUGGUGGGAAAGCCCAAGAAGGCCCCUGCGCAGGAGAGAAAGAAAAUCAAAGAGAAAAAGGGGGGAGUGGGAAAAUAGAGAAGGACUCCACCUUCCAAUCCUAGUUGGACUAGGAUUGGAGGAGGGAUCCUCCUCCCCCCACUUCGGUCGACCCCUUGGGGAUCCUUGACCCUCAAGGCAAGGUCCCUCCCCUCCCUCCUAUAUAUACUGAGGUAUUAGGGCUGAUUUGAGACAACUUUUGCCACGACAGCCCGACCACAUACCUCCAUGGUUUUUCCUCUAGGUCGCGUUUCUGCGGAGCUCGAGCGGAGCCCUGCUGAGAUAAUAUCACCACCAACCUCCGGAGCGCCGUCACGCUGCCGGAGAACUCAUCUAACUCUUCGUCUCUCUUGCUGGAUCAAGAAGGCCGAGAUCAUCGUCGAGCUGUACGUGUGCUGAACGCGGAGGUGCCGUCCGUUCGGCACUAGAUCGGAGCGGAUCGUGGGACGGUUCGUGGGAUGGUUCGCGGGGCGGAUCGAGGGACGUGAGGACAUUCCACUACAUCAACCGCGUUUCUUAAACGCUUCUGCUUUGCGAUCUACAAGGAUACGUAGAUCGGAAAUCUCCUCUCGUAGAUGAACAUCACCAUGAUAGGUAUUGCGUAUGCGUAGGAAAUUUUUUGUUUCCCAUGUGACGUUCCCCAUCAGUGGCAUCAUGAACUAGGUUGAUGCGUAGAUGUUAUGUCGAGUAGAACACAAAAGUUUUUGUGGGUGGUGAUGUGCGAUUUGCUGCCCUCCUUAGUCUUUUCUUGAUUCCGCGGUAUAGUUGGAUCGAAGCGGCUCGGACCGACAUUACUCGUACGUUUACGAGAGACUGGUUUCAUCGCUACGAGCAACCCCGUUGCUCAAAGAUGACUGGAGAGUGUCGGUUUCUCCAACUUUAGUUGAAUCGGAUUUGACCGAGGAGGUCCUUGGAGAGAGGUUAAAUAGCAAUUCAUACAUCUCCGUUGUGGUGUUUGCGUAAGUAAGAUGCGAUCCUACUAGAUACCCAUGGCAACCACGUAAAACAUGCAACAACAAUUAGAGGACGUCUAACUUGUUUUUGCAGGGUAUGCUUGUGAUGUGAUAUGGCCAACGACGUGAUGUGAUAUAUUGGAUGUAUGUGAUGAUCAUGUUGUAAUAGUUAAUAUCGACUUGCACGUUGAUGGUACGGCAACCAGCAGGAGCCAUAGGGUUGUCUUUAAACUAACGUUUGUGCUUGCAGAUGAUACGUCCAUAUUGCAUCAUGCUUUCAUGUUGAUAUUUAUUGUUUUAUGGGCUGUUAUAUUACUUUGUGGUACCAUAUUUAUGCCUUUUCUCUCUUAUUUUGCAAGGUUUAUUUGAAGAGGGAGAAUUCAGGCAGCUGGAAUUCUGGACUGGAAAAGGAGCAAAUCUUAGUCCACUAUUCUACACAUCUCCAAAUGCCGUGAAAAGUUACGUGGAUUUUUUUGGGAUUAUAUAAAAAAAUACUGGGUGAAAGAAGUACCAGAGGGGGGCUGCCAGGGCGCCCAAGCCCUGCCACCGCCACCCCCCUGGUGGCGGAGGGCAAGCUUGUGGGCUCCCUGACGGCCCACUAUCCCCCCUCUUUUGCUAUAUGAAGGGUUUCGUUCCAGAAAAAAAUCAAUCGGGAGCUUUUUCGUGGUUUCGCCGCCGCCACGAGGCGGAACUUGAGCAGAUUCAAUCUAGAGCUCCGACAGGACGAUCCUGCCGGGGAAACUUCCCUCUCGGAGGGGGAAAUCGUCGCCAUCGUCAUCACCAACACUCCUCUCGUCGGAGGGGAGGCAUCUUCAUCAACAUCUUCAUCAGCACCAUCUCCUCUCCAAUCCCUAGUUCAUCUCUUGUAAUCAAUCUCCGUCUCAGGACUCCGAUUGGUACUUGUAAGGUUGCUAGUAGUGUUGAUUACUCUUUGUAGUUGAUGCUAGUUGGAUUACUUGGUGGAAGAGUUUAUGUUCAGAUCCUUGAUGCUAUUCAUUACACCACUGAUCAUGAUUAUGAUUAUGCUUUGUGAGUAGUUACUUUUGUUCCUGAGGACAUGGGAUAAGUCAUGCUGAUAAUAGUCAUGUGAAUUUGAUAUUCGUUCGGUAUUUUGAUAUGUUGUAUGUUGUCUUUUCUUCUAGUGGUGUUAUGUGAACGUCGACUACAUAACACUUCACCAUAUUUGGGCCUAGAGGAAGGCAUUGGGGAGUAGUAAGUAGAUGAUGGGUUGCUGGAGUGAGAGAAGCUUAAACCCCAGUCAAUGUGUUGCUUCGUAAGGGGCUGAUUUGGAUCCACUAGUUUAAUGCUAUGGUUAGACGUUGUCUUAAUUCUUCUUUUGUAGUUGUGGAUGCUUGCGAGAGAGGUUAAUCAUAAGUGGGAUGCUUGUCCAAGUAAGGGCAGUACCCAAGCGCCGGUCCACCCACAUAUCAAAUUAUCAAAGUAACGAAUGCGAAUCAUAUGAACAUGAUGAAACUAGCAUGAUAGAAAUUCCCGUGUGUCCUCGGGAGCGUUUUUCCUCCUAUAAGACUUUGUUCAGGCUUGUCCCUUGCUACAAAAGGGAUUGGGCCACUUUGCUGCACCGUUGCUACUACUUGUUACUUGUUACUUUUUGCUUGCUACGUUUCACCUCGCUACACAAUCACCUGUUACCGCUACUUUCAGUGCUUGCAGUUAUUACCUUGCUCAAAACCGUUUAUCAGAGCCUUCUGCUCCUCGUUGGGUUCGACACUCUUACUUAUCGAAAGGACUACGAUUGAUCCCCUAUACUUGUGGGUCAUCAAGACUCUUUUCUGGCGCCGUUGCCGGGGAGUGAAGCGCCUUUGGUAAGUGGAAAUUGGUAAGGAAACAUCUAUAUAUUGUGCUGAAAUUUAUUGUCACUUGUCACUAUGGAAACUGUUCCUUUGAGGAGUUUGUUCGGGGUAUCUUCACCACGAACGGAAGCACGAGGAGUUGUUCCUCAACCUGAGGUACCUACUGAAAAUAUCUUUUAUGAAAUUCCUUCGGGUAUGCUUGAGAAACUGCUGGCUAAUCCUUUCACAAGAUGGAUCUUCACAUCCACACUUGCAUCUGAUCUAUGUAGAUGAAAUUUGUGGUUUAUUUAAGCUUGCAGGUUUGCCCGAGGAUGAGGUAAAGAAGAAAGUCUUUCCUUUAUCUUUGAAGGAUAAGGCGUUGACAUGGUAUAGGCUAUGUGAUGAUACUGGAUCAUGGGGCUACAAUCGGUUGAAAUUGGAAUUUCAUCAAAAGUUCUAUCCUAUGCAUUUAGUACAUCGUGAUCGGAACUUUAUUUAUAACUGUUGGCCUCGUGAUAGGGAAAGCAUAGCUCAAGCUUGGGGGAGGCUUAAAUCAAUGCUAUAUUCAUGCCCCAAUCAUGAGCUCUUGAGAUAAAUCAUCACUCAAAACUUUUAUGCUCGGCUUUCUCAUGAAGAUCGUACCAUGCUUGACACUUCUUGUACCGGUUCUUUUAUGAAGAAGGAUAUUGAUCACAAGUGGAAUUUAUUGGAGAGAAUCAAACGCAACUCUGAAGAUUGGGAGCUAGAGGAAGGUAAGGAGUCAGGUAUGAAUUUCCAGUUUGAUUGCGUUAAAUCUUUUGUUGACACAAACACCUCUAGAGAUUUUAGCGCUAAGUAUGGACUUGACUCUGAGAUAGUAGCUUCUCUAUGUGAAUAUUUUGCUACUCAUGUUGAUCUUCCCAAAGAGAAGUGGUUUAAGUAUCAUCCUCCUGUAGAAAGCAACAUAGUCAAAACCAAUCUAGUUGAGGAGAAAGUCAUUGCUUUUAGUGAUCCUGUUGUUCCUUGUGCUUACACUGAGAAACCACCAUACCCUGCUAGGAUAAAGGAUUAUUAUAAAGCUCCAACUGUGAUACGUAGGGGUUACAUUAGACCACUUCCACCCCCUGAGGAUAUUAGAGUUGAACCUAGUGUUUCUAUUAUCAAAGAUCGUUUAGCCGAAGACGUAGACGGGCAUGUUAUCAAAUUCUGUGAGGACUCCGCUAGAAUUGCUAAACCUCACGCGAAAGACAAUUACAGACCUGUAGUUGGCCUGCCCGUUGUUUCUGUCAAGAUAGGAGAUCACUAUUACCAUGGUUUAUGUGAUAUGGGAGCUAGUGUUAGUGCAAUACCCCGUUCUCCAUAUGAUGAAAUCAAAGAUGAGAUUGCACCUGCUGAGUUAGAACCCAUUGAUGUCACUAUUACGCUAGCUAAUAGAGACACUAUCUGCCCUCUGGGAAUUGUGAGAGACGUAGAAGUCCUGUGUGGUAAGACGAAGUAUCCUACUGAUUUCCUCGUCCUUGGUAGUGCACAAGAUAGCUUUUGUCCCAUCAUAUUUUUUAGACCCUUUCUCAACACUGUCAAUGCUCACAUUGAUUGCAUUAAGCAGACUGUCACAGUUAGUUUCGAGGGUGUGUCUAAUGAAUUUAACUUCUCUAAGUUUGGAAGACAACCCCAUGAAAAAGAGUCAUCUGGAAGGGAUGAAAUUAUUGCUCUUACCUCUAUUGUCGUACCUCCUACGGAUCCCUUAGAGCAAUAUCUGCUUGAGCAUGAAAAUGAUAUGCAUAUGGAGGAGAGAGAUGAGAUAGAUAAAAUUGUCUUAGAACAAUAUUCUAUUCUCAAGAAUAAUCCGCGUGUUGAACUGCUUGGGGAUCCUCCCCCACCAAAGGGUGAUCCAGUGUUCGAGCUUAAACAGUUGCCUGAUACUCUUAAGUUUGCCUAUCUUGAUGAGAAGGAGAUAUAUCCCAUUAUUAUUAGUACUCUCCUCUCAGAGCACGAAGAGAAGAAGUUACUAAAAACUCUGAGGAAGCAUCGUGCUGCUAUUGGAUAUACUCUUGAUGAUCUUAAGGGUAUUAGUCCCACUCUAUGUCAGCACAAGAUUAAAACCGAUCCUGAUUCAAAACCAGUUGCUGAUCAUCAAAGGAGAUUAAAUCCUAAGAUGAAAGAGGUCGUUAGAAAAGAAAUAUUAAAGCUUCUGGAAGCAUGAAUCAUUUAUCCUAUUGCUCAUAGUGAUUGGGUAAGUCCAGUACAUUGCGUACCUAAGAAGGGAGGUAUCAUCGUCGUUCCUAAUGAUAAGGAUGAACUAAUCCUACAAAGGAUUAUUACUGGCUAUAGGAUGGUGAUAAACUUCCGGAAACUGAAUAAGGCAACUAGGAAAGAUCAUUAUCCUUUGUCGUUUAUCGACCAAAUGCUGGAAAGGCUAUCAAAACACACACACUUCUGCUUUCUAGACGGUUAUUCAGGUUUCUCGCAAAUACCUGUUGCACAAUCUGAUCAGGAGAAAACCACUUUCACCUGCCCCUUCGGUACCUUUGCUUAUAGACGUAUGCCUUUUGGCUUAUGCAAUGCACCUGCCACCUUUCAAAGAUUUAUGAUGGCUAUAUUCUCUGACUUUUGUGAAAAGAUUGUCGAUGUUUUCAUGGAUGACUUCUCUGUUUACGGGUAUUCCUUUGAUGAUUGCCUCAGCAACCUUGAUCGAGUCUUACAGAAAUGCGAAGAUACCAACCUCUUCUUGAAUUGGGAGAAGUGCCACUUUAUGGUUAACGAUGGUAUCGUCUUAGGACACAAAAUUUCUGAGAUAGGCGUUGAAGUUGAUAAGGCUAAGGUUGAUGCAAUUGAGAAAAUGCCUUGCCCCACAGAUAUCAGAGGUAUACAAAGUUUCCUAGGUCAUGCUGGUUUCUAUAGAAGGUUCAUUAAAGACUUCUCUAAGAUUUCUAGGCCUCUUACCAACCUCUUGCAGAAGGAUGUACCUUUUGUUUUUGUUGAGGAUUGUGAGGAAGAUUUCGAAAUACUUAAGAAGGCUUUGAUAACCGCACCUAUUGUUCGACCACCUGACUGGAACUUGCCCUUUGAAAUCAUGUGUGACGCUGGUGAUUAUGUUGUUGGUGCUAUUCCAGGACAAAGAGUUGACAAGAAGUUGAAUGUUAUUCACUAUGCUAGUAAAACUCUAGACAGUGCCCAAAGAAACUAUGCCACUACGGAGAAGGAGUUUUUAGCAGUCGUGUUUGCAUGUGAAAAGUUCAGAUCUUAUAUAGUUGACUCCAAAGUCACUAUUCACUCUGAUCAUGCUGUUAUUAAGUACCUUAUGGAGAAGAAGGACGCUAAGCCUAGGCUGAUCGGAUGGGUUCUCCUGCUACAUGAAUUUGAUUUGCACGUCGUUGACCGAAAGGGUGCUGAUAACCCUGUAGCACAUAACUUGUCUAGGCUAGAGAAUGUCCUUGACGACCCACUACCUAUUGAUGACAGCUUUCCUGAUAAGCAAUUGAAUGUCAUCCGCACUUCACAUAUAGUGCACCGUGGUAUGCCGAUUAUGCAAAUUAUAUUGUAGCCAAAUACAUACCACCCAGUUUCACCUAUCAGCAAAAGAAGAAAUUCUUGUUUGAUUUGAGACACUACUUUUGGGAUGAUCCUCACCUUUAUAAGGAAGGAGUAGAUGGUGUUAUUAGACGUUGUGUGCCUGAGCAUGAACAGGGACAGAUCUUGCAGAAGUGUCAUUCCGAAGCCUACGGAGGACACCAUGUUGGAGAUAGAACUGCCCAUAAGGUAUUGCAAUCAAGUUUCUAUUGGCCCACUCUCUUCAAGGAUGCCCGUAAGUUUGUCUUGUCUUGUGACGAAUGCCAAAGAAUAGGGAAUAUCAGUAAGCGUCAGGAAAUUCCUAUGAACUAUUCACUUGUCAUUGAACCGUUCGAUGUCUGGGGCUUUGAUUAUAUGGGACCCUUCCCGAGUUCCAAUGGGUACACUCACAUCUUAGUUGUUGUGGAUUACGUCAAUAAGUGGGUAGAAGCUAUCCCCAUUAAAAAUGCUGAUCACCACACCUCUAUUAAGAUGAUAAAGAAGUCAUUUUCCCAAGAUUUGGAGUCCCUAGAUAUUUGAUGACUGAUGGCGGUUCACACUUCAUUCAUGGUGUUUUCCUCAAGAUGCUCGCUAAGUAUGAUGUCAAUCAUAGAGUUGCAUCUCCUUAUCAUCCUUAGUCUAGUGGUCAAGUGGAGUUGAGUAAUAGGGAGAUCAAGUUGAUCCUACAAAAGACCGUCAAUAGAUCUCGAAAGAACGGGUCUAGCAAACUUGACGAUGCACUAUGGGCUUAUAGGACUGCUUAUAAGAAUCCCAUGGGUAUGUCACCGUAUAAAAUGGUUUACGGUAAGGCCUGUCAUUUACCUCUUGAGCUGGAACACAAAGCUUAUUGGGCAAUCAAAGAGCUCAACUUCGAUUUCAAACUUGCCGGUGAGAAGCGGUUGUUUGAUAUCAGCUCGUUAGAUGAAUGGAGGGCCCAGGCAUAUGAGAAUACCAAAUUGUUCAAGGAAAAGGUUAAGAGAUGACACGAUAAACGAAUACAGAAACGAGAGUUCAAUGUAGGUGAUUAUGUGCUGCUAUACAAUUCUCGUUUGAGAUUCUUUGCAGGCAAGCUUCUCUCUAAAUGGGAAGGUCCUUAUGUUAUCGAGGAAGUAUAUCGUUCCGGUGCCAUCAAAAUCAAUAACAUGGAAGGAAAUUUUCCUAGAGUGGUAAAUGGGCAAAGAAUCAAACAUUACAUCACUGGUACUCCCAUAAAUGUUGAGACCAAUAUCAUCAAUGUCAUAACUCCACAGGAGUACAUAAGGGAUGUUUAUCAGCCUGUUUCAGACCCUGAAAAUGAAGAGGUAUCUGUUUCGGUAAGAAAUUGGACUCCGACGCUUUCCCAAUAGGAAAUUUUCUCCAUUUUGGAAUUUUUGGAAAAUUAGAAAAAUAAAAAGCAGUCCGGAGAGCGCACGAGGCGGCCAUAAGCUUGGACGCCGCCACCUACCCCCUGGUGGCGGAGGGAGGGCUUGUGGGCACCUCGUGUGCCUCCCGGACUCCGUUUUCUUGCGGAGCACUCCUUCUGGUCCAGAAAAUAUCAAUAUAUAUUAGCCCGAAGGUUUUGAUCUCCGUAUAGCACAGUUUUCCUCUGUUCUCGUUUCAAGCUUGUUGUCUGCCGCAGAUUUAGAGCAAAGAUGUCUCAGGAAUCUGUUGGGGAGAAUGAUCUUCACCAAGUUCAUGAAGAAGUAGAUGUUGAUCUGAAAAUAGUAGAAGUCACGGAAGCCAGGAACGAGGCUAAGGAGAAAACCCAAGCUAGGGAGGAAGUUCAACCUACGUUCAACAUUAAAGACGUUGAAGGAGUAGAUUUUCUCCAACCCUUCCUCCACGUGUUGUCUCCACCCUUGAUUGAACUCUUGAGGUUUUGCGAAACAACUCGUGCUCGCAAUAUUUCCCUUUCUCGUGAAGUUGUUUUGCUGGAAAACCAUGUCACAGAUCUCAAAGGUAUAAAUCAAAGAUGGAUAGCUCUCUUGGAAUCAAAGGCAACAACUCCAGCACCAUCACCACCAAAGGAAGACAACUUAGCAUUGGUAUGGGCAAUCCCCUUGGCUUCUGCCAAGCUUGGGGAAGUUGCCCUGGUAUCGUAUCACCUUUUUAUCUUUUGCUUUUACCUUUGUUUUAGUUCUUUCCUUUUCAGUUUUUAUUUUCUUCUCUUAGAGGAAUAAGUCUUUAGUUUUUAGUUUGAGUCUUUUUCUUUGCUCCCCCGAUGUAUUCGAGCUUACGAGCUAUAUAAUAAAGAGUAUCUUAGUCAAGGGCUCUGCUUUGUGUCGUGAUCAAAAGUAUGAAAAGAACGAUAGCAUAAAAGAUCAUGAGACGAUCUUACGGAAAGUGAUAACUUCACAUAUGACACGUAUGAUGAUUGAAACUUGUUGAGAAUAAAUCAACAUAGACCUCAGUCAUUGUUGCAAUUAAUAAGAAGUAAUAAGGAAAGAGAGAUUCACAUAUAAAUAUAUCAUCUUAGACACUUUUUACAAUUGCAAACACUCACCAAACUAUUGCAUGCCUAGAAGUAGAUGUUGGACAAGGAAGACAACGUAAUGGAUUGUGUUUGCUUGGCUCUGAACAAUGUUCUAUGAUUAGAGAUCCCUUAGCAUGUGACGAUUGCUUCCACCUCAUGUUAGCCAAAACUCCCGCACCAAGUAGAGAUACUACUUGUGCAUCCAUAAACCUUCAACCCAGUUUUGCCAUGAGAGUCCACCAUACCUGCUUAUGGAUUGAAUAAGAUCCUUCAAGUAAGUUGUCAUCGGUGCAAGCAAUAAAAAUUGCUCUCUAAUAUGUAUGAUCUAUUAGUGUGUGGAAAAUAAGCUUUGUACGAACCUGUGAUGAGGAAGACAUAAAAGCGACAGACUGCAUAAUAAAGUUCUUUAUCACAGGAGGCAAUAUAAAGUGACGUUCCUCCGCACUAAGAGGACACGCAUUCAAACCCCAAAAGCGCAUGACAACCUCUACUUCCCUCUGCGAAGGGCCUAUCUUGUACCUUUACUUUUUGCCCUUGUCAGAGUCAUGGUGAUCUUCACCAAUUCCCUAUUCUGCCUUUGUCUUGGCUACCGUCACAUGCUUGGGAAAGAUCUAUAUUCAUAUAUCAACUUGGAGUUGAGUACUUAUGCUUUAUUAUUGUUGACUUUACCCUUGAGGUAAAUCGUUGGGAGGCAAAACUAUAAGCCCCUAUCUUCCUCUGUGUCCAGCUGAAACUUUGACACCAUGAGUACCACGUGAGUUGUAAAAAUUGUGGAAAACAAAAGAGAUGAUUGAGUAUGUGGAUUUGCCUUACAAGCUCUUAUUUGAGUCUUUCUGAUGUUGUGAUAAAUUGCAAUUGCUUCAAUUACUUUGGACUAUUGUUGGUUACUUCUCGGUAAGGUUUUUGCUUCAUGCUUUGCUUUGUGAAGGAAUUUUUACUUUCCCAUAAGAAUCUUUAUGAUGUAUUGCUAUCCUAUGUGUGAUCAUGAUGCCCUCAUGUCCAUAUUAUGUUUUAUCGACACCUUUGUCCCUCAACAUGUGGACAUGUUUAUGGAACUUGGUUUUCGCUUGAGGACAAGCGAGGUCUAAGCUUGGGGGAGUUGAUACGUCCAUUUUGCAUCAUGCUUUCAUGUUGAUAUUUAUUGAUUUAUGGGCUGUUAUAUUACUUUGUGGUACCAUAUUUAUGCCUUUUCUCUCUUAUUUUGCAAGGUUUAUUUGAAGAGGGAGAAUUCAGGCAGCUGGAAUUCUGGACUGGAAAAGGAGCAAAUCUUAGUCCACUAUUCUGCACAUCUCCAAAUGCCCUGAAAAGUUACGUGGAUUUUUUUGGGAUUAUAUAAAAAAUACUGGGCGAAAGAAGUACCAGAGGGGGCUGCCAGGGCGCCACAAGCCCUACCACUGCCACCCCCUGGUGGCGGAGGGCAAGCUUGUGGACUCCCUGACGGCCCACUAUCCCCCCUCUUUUGCUAUAUGAAGGGUUUCGUUCCAGAAAAAAUCAAUCGGGAGCUUUUUCGUGGUUUCACCGCUGCCACGAGGCGGAACUUGAGCAGAUUCAAUCUAGAGCUCCGACAGGACGAUCCUGCCGGGGAACUUCCCUCCCGGAGGGGGAAAUCGUCGCCAUCGUCAUCACCAACACUCCUCUCGACAAAGGGGAGGCAUCUUCAUCAACAUCUUCAUCAGCACCAUCUCCUCUCCAAUCCCUAGUUCAUCUCUUGUAAUCAAUCUCCGUCUCAGGACUCCGAUUGGUACUUGUAAGGUUGCUAGUAGUGUUGAUUACUCUUUGUAGUUGAUGCUAGUUGGAUUACUUGGUGGAAGAGUUUAUGUUCAGAUCCUUGAUGCUAUUCAUUACACCUCUGAUCAUGAUUAUGAUUAUGCUUUGUGAGUAGUUACUUUUGUUCCUCGGGACAUGGGAUAAGUCAUGCUGAUAAUAGUCAUGUGAAUUUGAUAUUCGUUCGGUAUUUUGAUAUGAUGUAUGUUGUCUUUUCCUCUAGUGGUGUUAUGUGAACGUCGACUACAUAACACUUCACCAUAUUUGGGCCUAGAGGAAGGCAUUGGGGAGUAGUAAGUAGAUGAUGGGUUGCUGGAGUGAGAGAAGCUUAAACCCCAGUCAAUGCGUUGCUUCGUAAGGGGCUGAUUUGGAUCCACUAGUUUAAUGCUAUGGUUAGACGUUGUCUAAAUUCUUAUUUUGUAGUUGCGGAUGAUUGCGAGAGAGGUUAAUCAUAAGUGGGAUGCUUGUCCAAGUAAGGGUAGUACCCAAGCGCCGGUCCACCCACAUAUCAAACUAUCAAAGUAACGAACGCGAAUCAUAUGAACAUGAUGAAACUAGCAUGACAGAAAUUCCCGUGUUUCCUCGGGAGCGUUUUUCCUCCUAUAAGACUUUGUUCAUGCUUGUCCCUUGCUACAAAAGGGAUUGGGCCACUUUUCUGCACUGUUGCUACUACUUGUUACUUGUUACUUUUUGCUUGCUACGUUUCACCUCGAUACACAAUCACCUGUUACCGCUACUUUCAGUGCUUGCAGUUAUUACCUUGCUGAAAACCGUUUAUCAGAGCCUUCUGCUCCUUGUUGGGUUCGACACUCUUACUUAUCGAAAGGACUACGAUUGAUCCCCUAUACUUGUGGGUCAUCAGCAGAUGCGUUUACUAUAUUGCUAGGACGUAGCUUUAGUAGUAAUAGCAUGAGUAGCACGACAACCCCGAUGGCGACACGUUGGUGGAGAUCAUGAUGAUGGAGAUCAUGGUGUGGCGCCGGUGACAAGAAGAUCGUGUCGGUGCUUUGCUGAUGGAGAUCAAGAAGCACAUGAUGAUGGCCAUAUCAUGUCACUUAUGAAUUGCAUGUGAUGUUAAUCCUUUAUGCAUCUUAUCUUGCUUAGAACGACGGUAGCAUUAUGAGGUGAUCUCUCACUAAAAUUUCAAGACGAAAUUGUGUUCUCCCCGACUGUGCACCGUUGCGACAGUUCGUCGUUUCGAGACACCACGUGAUGAUCGGGUGUGAUAGACUCAACGUUCACAUACAACGGGUGCAAAACAGUUGCACACGCGGAACACUCGGAUUAAACUUGACGAGCCUAGCAUGUGCAGACAUGGCCUCGGAACACAAGAGACCGAAAGGUCGAGCAUGAAUCGUAUAGUUGAUAUGAUUAGCAUAGAGAUGCUUACCACUGAAACUAUUCUCGACUCACAUGAUGAUCGGACUUGAGAUGGUGGAUUUGGAUCAUGUACCACUCAAAUGACUAGAGAGAUGUACUUUUUGAGUGGGAGUUCUUAAGUAAUAUGAUUAAUUGAACUAAUUAUCAUGAACAUAGUCUAAUGGUCUUUGCAAAUUACGAUGUAGCUUGCGCUAUAGCUCUACAGUUUUUUAUAUGUUCCUAGAGAAAAUUAUAGUUGAAAGUUGAUAGAGCAACUUUGCGGACUCAGUCUGUAAAACUGAGGAUUGUCCUAGUUGCUGCGCAGAAGGCUUAUUUCCUUAAUGCACCACUCGGUGUGCUGCACCUCGAGCGUCAUCUGCGGAUGCUGUGAACAUCCGACAUACACGUUUGUGAUGAAUACGCGAUAGUUCAGUGCAAAAUACUUAAUGGCUUAGAAGCAAGGCCCCGAAGACGUUUUGAAACAUCACGGAACAUAAGAGAUGUUCCAAAGAGAUGAAAUUGUAAUUUCAUGCUUGUGCCCUUGUUAAGAGGUAUGAGACCUCCGACAAGAUUCUUUGUCCACGAAGUAAAGGAUAAAGCUCAAUCAUUGAGCGUGUGCUCAGAUUGUCUGAGUACGACAAUCACUUGAAUCAAGUGGGAGUUAAUCUUCCAGAUGAGAUAGUGACGGUUCUCCAAAGUCACCACCACCAAGCUGUGAGAGCUUCGUGAUGAACUAUAACAUAUCAAGGAUAGAUACAAUGAUCCUUGAGCGAUUCGCGAUGUUUGACACUGCGAAAGUAGAAAUCAAGAUGGAGCAUCAAUAGUUGAUGGUUAGUAAAACCACUAAGUUUCAAGAAAGGCAAGGGCUAGAAGGGAUACUUCGUGAAACAGCAAAACAGUUGCUGCACUAAUGAAGAGACCCAAGAUUAAACCCAAACCCGAGACUAAGUGCUUUUGUUUUGAGUGGAACGGUCACUGAGGCGGAGCUACCCUAGAUGCUUGGUAGAUAAGAAGGCUGGCUAAGUCGACAGAAGUAUAUUUGAUAUACAUGAUAUUCAUGUGUACUUUACUAGUACUCCCAGUAGCACGAGGGUAUUGGAUACCGGUUCGGUUGCUAAGUGAUUAGUAACACGAAAUGAAAACUACGGUAUAAACGGAGACUAGCUAAAGGCGAGGGGACGAUACGUGUUGGAAGUGCUUCCAAGGUUGAUGUGAUCAAACGUCGCACGCUCCCUCCACCAUCGGGAUUAGGUGUUAAACCUAAAUAAUUGUUAUUUGGUGCUUGCGUUGAGCAUGAACAUGAUUGGGUCGUGUUUAUUGCAAAGCGAUUAUUCAUUUAAAGAGAAUAAUGGUUACUCUAUUUUGCUUGAAUAAUCACCUUCAAUGGUUUAUUAAAUCUCGAUCGUAGUGUUACACAUGUUCAUGAUAUUGGUGCCAAAAGAUACAAGGUAAUGAUGAUAGUACCACUUACUUGUGGCACUGCUGCUUGAGUCAUGUUGGUAUAAAUUGCAUGAAGAGGCUCCAUGCUGAUGGAUCUUUAUACUCAGUUGAUUUUGAAUAACUCGUGACAUGCAAAUCAUACCACAUGAGCAAGACCUUGUUUUCGUUGAGAUGAAACAAGAUAGUAACUUGUUGGAAGUAAUACAUUUUGAUGUAUGCAGUCCAAUGGGUGCUGAGGAAAGCAGUGGAUAUCAUUAUGUUAUUACUUGAAUGACGAUUUGAGUAGAUACAUGAGUAUUUACUUAAUGAAUCACAAGUCUGAAAUAUUGAAAAAGUUCAAUUCUGUUUCAGAGUGAAGUUCGUCGUAACAAGAGGAUAAACUGUCUACGAUAUGAUCAUAGAGAUGAAUAUCUGAGUUGCGAGUUUUGGUACACAGUUAAGACAAUGUGGAAGUUGUUUCGCAAUUCAAGCCACGAAGAACACCAUGGUGUGAUGGUAUGUCCGAACGUCAUAGCCGCGACCUAUUUGAUAUGGUGCAUAUUAUGAUGUCUCUUACCGAAUUACCACUAUCGUUUAUGGGUUAUGCAUUAUAGACAACCGCAUUCACUUUAAAUAGGGCACCGCGUAUUUCCGUUGAGAUGACACAAUAUAGACUAUGGUUUAGAGAAACCUAAGCUGUCGUUUCUUGAAAGUUCGGGGCUGCGAUGCUUAUGUGAAAAGGUUUCAGUCUGAUAAGCUCGAACCCAAAGCGGAUAAAUGCAUCUAGGAUAUCCAAAACAGUUGGAUACAUCUCCUAUUCAGAUCCGGAAGCAAAGUGUUUGUUUCCAGAAAUAGAUCCUUUCUCGAGGAAAGGUUUCUCUCAAAAGAAUUGAGUGGGAGGGUGGUGGAACUUGAUGUGGUUAGUGAACCGUCACUUCAACCAGUGUGUAGUAGGGCGCAGGAAGAUGUUCCUGUGGCGCCUACACCAAUUGAAGUAGAAGCUGAUGAUAGUGAUCAUUAGAGCUUCGGAUCAAGUUACUACAAACCUUGUAGGUCGACAAAGGUCACGUUCUACUACAGAGUGGUACGGUAACCCUGUCUUGGAGGUCAUGUUGUUGAACAACAAUGAACCUACGAGUUAUGGAGAAGCAAUGGUGGGACCGGAUUCCGAUAAAUGGCUGGAGGCCAUGAAAUCCGAGAGAGGAUCCAUGUAUAAAACAAAGUGUAGACUUUGGAAGAACUACCUGAUGGUAGUAAUACUAUUAAGUAAAGAUGGAUCUUUAAAAGGAAGACAGACAAUGAUGGUGAUAAGUCACUAUUAAUAAAGGCUCGACUUGUCGCAAAGAUGUUUUCGACAAGAUCAAAGAGUUGACUAUGAUGUGACUUUCUCACUCGUAGCGAUGCUAAAAGUCUGUUGGAAUUAUGUUAGUAGUUGUUGCAUUAUUUGUGAAAUAUUGCACAUAGGAAGUCAAAACAUUGUUUCCUCGACGAUUUCCUUGAGGAAAGAUUGUAUGUAAUACAAUCAGAAGGUAUUUUCGAUCCUAAGGAUACUAACAAGUAUGUAAGCUCCGGCGAUCCUUUAUGGACUGGUGCAAGCAUCCCGGAGUUGGAAUAUAUGCUUUGAUGAGAUGAUCAAAGCUUUUGGGUUUGUACAAGGUUUAUGAGAAACUUGUAUUUCCAAAGAAGUGAGUGGGAGCACUAUAGAAUUUCUGAUAAGUAUAUGUGGUUGACAUAUUGUGGAUCAGAAGUAAUGUAGAAUUUCUGUAAAGCAUAAAAGGUUGUUUGAAAGGAGUUUUUCAAAGGAAUACCUGGAUUGCGCUACUUGAACAUUGAGCAUCAAGAUCUAUGGAGAUAGAUCGAAAUGCUUAAUAGAAGUUUCAACAAAGAUGCAUGCCUUGACAAGUUUUUUGAAAGAGUUGAAAAUAGAUAAGCAAAGAAGGAGUUCUUGGUUGUGUUGUAAGGUGUGAAUUUGAGUAAGACUCAAAACCCGACCCCGGCAGAAGAAAGAGAAAGGACGAAGGUCGUCCUCUAUGCCUUAGCCGUAGACUCUACAGUAUGCCAUGCUGUGUACCGCACCUGAUGUGUGCCUUGCCACAAGUCUGUUAAGAGGUACAGAGAGUGAUCCAGGAUUGAAUCACUGAACAACGGUCAAAGUUAUCCUUAGUAACUUAUGGACUAAGGAAUUUUUCUCGAUUAUGGAGGUGGUUAAAGAGUUCGUCGUAAAGGGUUACGUUGAUGCAAGCUUUGACACUGAUCCGAAUAACUAUGAGUAGUGAAACGGAUUCGUAUAGUAGAGUAGAUAUUUGGAGUAUUUCCGAAUAGCACGUAGUAGCAGCAUCUAUAAGAUGACAUAAAGAUUUGUAAAGAACACACGGAUCUGAAAGUUUUAGAACCAUUGACUAAAACCUCUCUCACAAGCAAGACGUGAUCAGACCCCAGAACUAUAUGGGUGUUGGAUUCGUUAGAAUCACAUGGUGAUGUGAACUAGAUUAUUGACUCUAGUGCAAGUGGGAGACUGUUGGAAAUAUGCCCUACAAGCAAUAAUAAAUUAGUUAUUAUUAUAUUUCUUUGUUCAUGAUAAUCAUUUAUUAUCCAUGCUAUAAUUGUAUUGAUUGGAAACACAAUACUUGUGUGGAUACAUAGACAAAACACUGUCCCUAGUAAGCCUCUAGUUGACUAGCUCAUUGAUCAAAGAUGGUCAAGGUUUCGUGACCAUAGGCAAGUGUCGUUACUUGAUAAUGGGAUCACAUCAUUAGGAGAAUCAUGUGAUGGACUAGACCCAAACUAAUGAAUGUAGCAUGUUGAUCAUGUCAUUUUGUUGCUACAGUUUUUCUGCGUGUCAAGUAUUUAUUCCUAUGACCAUGAGAUCAUAUAACUCACUGGCACCAAAGGAAUGCCUUGUGUGUACCAAAUGUCACAACGUAACUGGGUGACUAUAAAGGUGCUCUACAUGUAUCUCCGAAGGUGUUCGUUGAGUUAGUAUGGAUCAAGACUGGGAUUUGUCACUCCGUGUGACGGAGAGGUAUCUCGGGGCCCACUCGGUAAUACAACAUCACACACAAGCCUUGCAAGCAAUGUGACUUAGUGUAAGUCACGGGAUCUUGUAUUAUAGAACGAGUAAAGAGACUUGUCAGUAAACGAGAUUGAAACAGGUAUGCGGAUACUGACGAUCGAAACUCGGGCAAGUAACAUACCGAAGGACAAAGGGAAUGACAUACGGGAUUAUAUGAAUCCUUGGCACUGAGGUUCAAACGAUAAGAUCUCCGUAGAAUAUGUAGGAUCCAAUAUGGGCAUCCAGGUCCCGCUAUUGGAUAUUGAGCGAGGAGUCCCUCGGGUCAUGUCUACGUAGUUCUCGAACCCGCAGGGUCUGCACACUUAAGGUUUGGCGUUGUUUUAUGCGUAUUUGAGUUAUAUGGUUGGUUAAGGAAUGUUGUUUGGAGUCGCAUAUGAGAUCACGGACGUCAUGAGGGUUUCCAGAAUAGUCCAGAGACGAAGAUUGAUAUAUAGUAUGACCUCAUUUGAUUACCGGAAAGUUUUCGGCAUUACCGGGAGUGACGAAUGGGUUUCGGAUGUUCAUCGGGGGGCAGCCCACCCCGGGGAAGCCCAUAGGCCUUAGGGGUGCCGCACCAGCCCUUAGUGGGCUGGUGGGCAAGCCCAAGAAGGCCCGUGCGUAGGAGAGAAAGAAAAUCAUAGAGAAAAUAAAAAAGGGGGGGAAGUGGGAAAAUAGAGAAGGACUCCACCUUCCAAUCCUAGUUGGACUAGGAUUGGAGGAGGAAUCCUCCUCCCCCCACUUCGGCCGACCCCUUGGGGCUCCUUGAGCCUCAUGGAAAGGUCCCUCACCUCCCUCCUAUAUAUACUGAGGUAUUAGGGCUGAUUUGAGAGAACUUUUGCCACGGCAGCCCGACCACAUACCUCCACGGUUUUUCCUCUAGAUCGCGUUUCUGCGGAGCUCGGGCGGAGCUCUGCUGAGAUAAGAUCACCACCAACCUCCGGAGCGCCGUCACGCUGCCGGAGAACUCAUAUACCUCUCCGUCUCUCUUGCUGGAUCAAGAAGGCCGAGAUCAUCGUCGAGUUGUACGUGUGCUGAACGCGGAGGUGUCGUCCGUUCGGCACUAGAUCGGAGCGGAUCGUGGGACGGAUCGCGGGACGGUUCGUGGGACGGUUUGCAGGGCGGAUCAAGGGACGUGAGGACUUUCCACUACAUCAACCACGUUUCUUAAACGCUUCUGCUGUGCGAUCUACAAGGGUACGUAGAUCGGAAAUCUCCUCUCGUAGAUGAACAUCACCAUGAUAGGUAUUGCGUGUGCGUAGGAAUUUUUUUUCUUUCCCAUGCGACGUUCCCCAUCAGCCCAGGGGGCCCACAAGCCCGUGGGCCGCAGCCUCCCCCCUGGCCACGGGGUGGGGGCUUGUGGGGCCCCUGGGCCCCCUGCCUUGGCUCUCAAGCUUCCCGAUCUUCUUCCGUUACGGAACAUAUCUUUUCGGGGAUUUUCUUCCGUUUGGACUCUGUUUCAAAAUCUCCUCUGAAAGGGGUCAAAAACAUGGAGAAAAACAGGAACUGGCACUUGGCACUGAGUUAAUAAGUUAGUCCCAAAAAAUAUAUAAUAGGCAUGCAUAACAUCCAAAGUUUGACAAGAUAAUAGCAUGAAACCAUCAAAAAUUAUAGAUACGUUGGAGGCGUAUCAACAGCCUCGAGCGCCCGGUUGCUUCACCACCUCGUCCGUCUUCUUCGGAGUGAGUUCGCGCUCAAAGACUUGGGGCCUCUCCACUAUUUCCUCGGUAUAGAGGUAACGCGGCGCCCCAACAACUUCUUCUUGUGCCAGCAGAAGUACGUGCAUGACCUCCUCGAGCGCGCCGGGAUGGACAACUGCAAGGUCGCGCCCACGCCCGUCGACACCAAGGCCAAGACCUCGGCGACCGACGGCACCCUUCUUCCGGACGGAUCCUUCUGCCACAACAUCGUCGGUGCGCUCCAAUACCUGACGCUCACCCGCCCCGAACUGACGUAAGCAGUUCAACAAGUGUGCUUACACAUGCACGCGCCGCGGGACGUGCACUGGGCAUUGGUGAAGCGGAUCUUGCGGUACAUCCCUGGCACUCCUUCGUUGGGGCUCACCUUACAUGCCUCUUCUUCGCUCGACAUCGUCGCCUACUGCUACUGCAACAAAAGACCUUCCAACGGCACUAGCUACUAUCAUGGAGAACUUUGUAUUGAAGAUCCAAGAGAGAGAAGAAGCCAUCUAGCUACUAACUACGGACCCGUAGGUCUGAAGUGAACUACUCACGAGUCAUUGGAGGGGCGAUGAUGAUGAUGAUGAUGAAGCCCUCCAACUCCAAAGUCCCCUCUGGCACGGUGCCGGGAAGGGUAUCUAGAUGAGAUCUCGCGGAAACAGAAGCUUGCGGCGGCGGAAAAGUAUUUUCGAGGCUCCCCUGAUUUUUUGCGGAAUAUUUGGGAAUUUAUAGGCCAAAGACCUAGGUCAGGGGGCGGCCAGGGAGGCCACAAGCCUGCCCACCGCCGCCUCCCCCCUCGUGGCGGAGUGGGGGCUUGUGGGCUCACUAGAUCCCACCUGGCUUGGCCCAAAGGCCCCCUGGUCUUCUUCCGUUCGGGAAAAAAUCAUUUCGUGGUUUUUCUUCCGUUUGGACUCCGUUCCAAAAUCAGAUCUGGAAAGAGUCAAAAACACGGAAAAAACAGGAACUGGCACUUGGCACUGAAUUAAUAAGUUAGUCCCAAAAAACAUAUAUAAAAGGUACAUAAAACAACCAAAGAAGACAAGAUAGCAGCGUGAAACCAUCAAAAAUUAUAGAUACGUUUGAGACGUAUCAAGCAUCCCCAAGCUUAACUCCAGCUCGUCCUCGAGUAGGGAAGUGAUAAGAAUGAAUUUUUGAUGCUUUCAUGCUACCUAGCAUAUAUGUCCUUUGUAAUUCCUCUUAUGUGACGUGAAUGUUCAGAUCCAUUAGAUUCAAAGCAAUAGUUUGCUAUUGACGUGGAAACAAUAAUAAUUCAAGCAAACUAGCAAGGUAAUCAUGAACUUUCAAAAUAACAAGGCCAAAAGAAAGUUAUCCCUACAAAAGCAUAUAGUCUGUCUAUGCUCUAUCAUCAUUGCACAAUGAAUUUAAAUCAUGCACAGCCCCGGUAUUGGCCAAGUAAUUAUUUCACACCUUUACUUUCUCAAACCUUUUCAACUCUCACGCAAUACAUGAGCGUGAGCCAUGGUUAUAGCACUAUAGAUGGUGUGGAAUGUAGUGGGGGUUGCAAGACAAAAAGGAGAAGAUAGUCACAUUAACUAGGCAUAUCAAUGAUUGUGGAGAUGCUCAUCAAUAGAUAUUAAUGUGAAUGAAUAGGGAUUGCCAUACAAUUGAUGCACUAGAGCUAUGAGUAUGUGAAAGCUCUUAAAGAAAACUAGUGGGUGUGCAUCCAACUUGCUUGCUCACGAAGACCUAAGGCAAUUGUGAGGAAGCCUAUCAUUGGAAUAUACAAGCCAAUUUAUAUAAUGAAAAUUUCCCACUAGCUAUACGGUGGUGACAAAAUGAGAGACUCGCAAUCAUGAAGAUCAUGGUGCUUAAUAUGCACAAGUGUGGAAAAAGUGGUAGCAUUGUCCCUUCUCUCUUCUUCUCUCAUUUUUUAUUUGGUGGGCUCUUUGGCCUCUUUUUUGUGGACUUCUUUGGCCUCUUUUAUUUCCUCACAUGGGACAAUGCUCCAUUAAUGAUGAUCAUCACACUUUCAACUCAAAACUUAGAGUAACGAUGACUCUAUAUGGAAUGCCUUUGGUAGUGUACCGUGGCAAUGAUCUAGCAUGGCAUAGACAUCAAUGGAAACAUCAUGCUAGCUAUCUUACGAUCAUGCAAUGGCAAUGUAGACGUGGUGGCACAUGUCAUGGUGGUAGUUGCAUGACAAUAUAUCUCGGAAUGACUUUGAAAAAGCCAUAGUAGGUAGGUAUGGUGGCUGUUUUGAGGGAGGCAAAUGGUGGGUUUUGUGCACCGACGAAAGUUGCAUGGCACUAAGAAGAUGGUGAUGGUGGAAGGUGAAAGUGCAUCUAAACCAGGGACUCAACAUUAGUCAUGAAGAACUCAUAUACUUGUUGCUAAAGUUCUAUUAGUAAUCGAAACAAAGCAUUCAACACAUACUCCUAGGGGAAGGGUUGGUAGGUAUAAACCAUCGCGCGAUCCCGACCGCUACGCAAAGGAUGACAAUCAAUAGACUAAUCAUGUUCAGAUUUCAUCACAUAGCGGUUCACCAUACGUGCAUGCUACGGGAAUCACUAACUUCAACACAAGUAUUUCUAGAUCCACAACACCUUACUAGCAUGACUUCAAUAUUACCAUAACCACAACUCAAAACUAAUUGAGAUGAAUCAAACUUCUCUAACUAUUCAAUGCACAUGAAGGUGGAAGUUUUCGUAUCCCUUUAGAUAACUACCCCUUUUGAGACUACUUUCAAAGCAUAGAUCAACUACCAAGCCAUGCACCGCUGUGCUCUAAAAGAUAUAAGUGAAGCACAUAGAGCAAAAGUAUCUAGCUCAAAAGAUAUAAGUGAAGCACAUGUGAGCUGAAUUGUCUACCAAAAGAUAUAAGUGAAGCUCGACAAAAUCAUGGUGUGUGCAUGUCUCUCUCUCUAGGUGUGUAGCAAGGAUGAUUGUGACACAACAAAAUUAAAAGACUCCUACAAUACAAGACGCUCCAAGCAAAAACACAUAACAUGUGGUGAAUAAAAAUAUGGCCCCAAGUAACGUUACCGAUGGAUUGAAGACGAAAGAGGGGAUGCCUUCCCGGGGCAUCCCCAAGCUUAGGCUUUUAUGGCAUCCUUGAAUCUUUUGGGGUGCCUUGGGCAUCCCCAAGCUUGAGCUCUUGCCACUCUUUAUCUCUUUGUCCAUAAGAACUUCACCCAAAACUUGAAAACUUCACAACACGAAACUUAAACAGAAACUCGUGGUAACAUUAGUACAAGAAAGCAAACCACCACUUCCUUAGGUACUGUAGCAAACUUAAAUUCUACUUAUGCUGAUGUUGGGUUACUGUACUUUCAAUCUUCCAUGGCUAAUAUCCCCGAUACUAUCCAUAGUUUCAUCAAAAUAAGCAACCAACACAACAAAAAACAGAAUCUGUUAACAGCAGACCAGUCUGUAGAGAUCUGUAUAUUUCGUAUACCUCUGGUACUUCAAAACUUCUGAAAAAUUAUGACAGUCUCAAGAAUUUACGUAGCAAUUAGAAGCAAAAAUAAUCAACUCAAAAGCUCUUACAGAAAAAAAAUGAAAAUUCUUUUCGUGAGUAGAAAGUUUCUGUCUUUUCCAGCAUGACCAAACGAUCAUCCCCAAGACUAAUCGUAACGGUUUUUCUUGGCACAAACGCAAAAAGAAACACAAAAACACAAUCAUAACAGAAUUAUGAAAGUGUGAAAAACACAAAACAGAAAGAAAAAUGAUAGAUUCGUUGGGUUGCCUCCCAACAAGCGCUUUUGUUUAACGCCCUUAGUUAGGCAUUGAAUGAUGCUCUCACAAAAGACAAGAAUUGAAGCACAACGAGAGAAUCCUAAAGCAUGUGAAAAUCACAUCUAAGUCUAACAUACUUCCUAUGCAUAGGCAUUUUAUAGGAAAACAAAUUGUCAAGACAACCAAUAGCUGCCAUAUGCAAGGAAGAAGAAAGAGACAAGAGCAAUCUCAACAUCACGAGAGGUGAUUUGGUAACAUAAAAGUUUCUACCAAAAUAUUUUCCUCUCUCAUAGCAAUUACACGUGGGAUCAUUUUCAAAUUCAACAAUAUAGCUAUCCCAUAGGAUAUUAUUUUCAUGAUCCACAUGCAUGCAAAGUUGACGCUCUUNNNNNNNNNNNNNNNNNNNNNNNNNNNNNNNNNNNNNNNNNNNNNNNNNNNNNNNNNNNNNNNNNNNNNNNNNNNNNNNNNNNNNNNNNNNNNNNNNNNNNNNNNNNNNNNNNNNNNNNNNNNNNNNNNNNNNNNNNNACGCUCUUCAAAAAUAGUGGAAUUGUCAUCAAAUAAAGUCAUGACUUCUCCAAUCCCACUUUCAAUAUUGUCGCAAAUAUCAUAUUCAUCAUGAGGUUUGAACAAAUUUUCAAGAUCAUAAGAAAGAUCAUCACCCCAAUCAUGAUUAUUGCAACAAGUAGUGGACAUAGCAAAACUAGCAUCCCCAAGCUUAGGGUUUUGCAUAAUUUCAGCAUGAUUAUCACUAAUAGAAUUUAUAGUGAAACCAUUGCAAUAAUGCUUUUCAUCCAAGGAACCCUCGUGAAUCACUUCAUAAUUUUCUUCCACACAAUUUUCAGAUUCACGCCUCUCAAGCAAAACUCCAUAGAAAUAGUCAAUUGCCCUCAACUCACUAGCAAUUCAUUCCACAUAAGUGGGUCUCUUAAAGAUAUUAACAAACGAGGAUGCAAGCAUAUUGAAGGCACAUGGCACACAAGUGAACAAAAAGCAAGCGAGAAAAAGGGCGAACGAAAAAGGAAAAAGGAAAACGGCAAAUGUGAAGUNAUAUAUAUCAUAGAUAAUCUGAGCACAAAUCCACAAUUCAUCUUAUCUCGACAAACACACCGCCAAAGAAGAUUACAUCGGAUAGAUCUCCAUGAAGAUCAUGGAGAACUUUGUAUUGAAGAUCCAAGAGUGAGAAGAAGCCAUCUAGCUACUAACUAUGGACCCGUAGGUCUGAAGUGAACUACUCACGAGUCAUUGGAGGGGCGAUGAUGAUGAUGAAGAAGCCCUCCAACUCCAAAGUCCCCUCCGGCAGGGUGCCGGGAAGGGUCUCCAGAUGAGAUCUCGCGGAAACGGAAGCUUGCAGCGGCGGAAAAGUAUUUUCGAGGCUCCCCUGAUUUUUUGCGGAAUAUUUGGGAAUAUAUAGGCCAAAGACCUAGGUGAGGGGGCGGCCAGGGAGGCCACAAGCCUGCCCACCGCCGCCUCCCCCCUGGUGGCGGAGUGGGGGCUUGUGGGCUCCCUGGAGCCCACCUGGCUUGGCCCAAAGGCCCCCUGGUCUUCUUCCGUUCGGGAAAAAAAUCAUUUCGGGGUUUUUCUUCCGUUUGGACUCUGUUCCAAAAUCAGAUCUGAAAAGAGUCAAAAACACGGAAAAAACAGGAACUGGCACUUGGCACUGAAUUAAUAAGUUAGUCCUAAAAAAGAUAUAAAAGGUACAUAAAACAACCAAAGAAGACAAGAUAGCAGCGUGAAACCAUCAAAAAUUAUAGAUACGUUUGAGACGUAUAACCUACUCCGAUGCGGAUUGGGCUGGCUGUCCCGACACCCGACGCUCUACCUCAGGCUACUGCGUCUACGUCGGCUCGUUGCUCAUUUCCUGGUCGUCCAAACGACAACCGACGGUGUCCCCCUUGAGCGCCGAAGCAGAGUACCGUGCCGUGGCCAAUGCCGUGGCGGAAUGCUCUGGGCUCCGACAGCUCCUUGGAGAGCUGCAAUGUGCUGUCCAACACGCCACCGUUGUCUACUGCGACAACGUCUCUGCUGUCUACCUGUCCGCCAACCCGGUGCACCAUCGGCGGACCAAACACAUCAAGCUUGACAUACACUUUGCAUGGGAGAAAGUUGUGCUUGGGGAUGUUCGCCUUCUUCAUGUGCCUACCUCUCAACAAUUCGCCGACGUUAUGACUAAGGGGCUGCCGGUGUCGGUCUUCGAAGAAUUCUGAUCGAGCCUCUGCGUCUCCGGCGACGUUUCGUUUGGGGGGUGUUGAAGCACUCGUCUAUACCGUUGCUCACGACAACCCUUCUCUUAGCGCAUGCAUAGGAUGAGCUACCCACUCGCCCACUCCCCUCCUUCUUGCUCGGGUAGUUAGGCUGUUAGGCUAGCUUAUCCUCUCCCUCUGUACAUAUAUAAGUAUGUGUUGUGUCAAUGAGAAUCGGUGUGCAACAAAUUAUUUCUUUCUCCCUUGCUUUACAGAUAUAAUUCAGAAGUUUGCGGGCAGUGCCUACAGAUGCACUGACAGCGUCCGUGAGUGUUUGAGAAACCGUAUUUAUCAAGUGUGGCUCUAGAUGCUCUAACUUUCUCCACCAGUGCGUGCGUGAUUUUACCACGGGUUUCGUCAAAUUUCGCCUCAUUCGAGAAGUCAGGAGUAUGUAUAUAUGUGCAGUAACAUAGCUACUAACAUAGUCUUGGGACUAGCAAACAUGGUGAUGUGACAAGUAAUUAAAGAAGAGAGAGAGGAUUAGAGUAACAUAGGUAGAUAUCGUAACAUGUUAAAUUCUAUGCUACUAUGUGUCAUGCAUGUCAAUAAAUGAGAUCACCUAUGAUACUAGUUUAUGAUACUCCCUCUGUUUCUUUUUAGUCUGCAUAUAAGGUUUGGUUAAAGUCAAGUUUUGUAAAGUUUGACUAACUUUAUAUUAAAAAAUAUCAACAUUCAUAACAUGAAAUCAAUAUUAUCAGAUGCAUCGCGAGAUGUAUUUUCAUACUAUAUAAUUUUAGUAUAGUAGAUAUUAUUAUUUUUUAUAUAAAUUUGGUCAAACUUUAUGUUGUUUGACUUUGACCAAAUCUUAUACGCGGAGUAAAAAGAAACGGAGGGAGUAAUAUGCACUAUGAAGGUAGUAUCAUACAAUAGUAACAUAUGCAUAAUACUACUACUAGCAAAAGAGCCCGUGCGUUGCAACGGGAGAAAAAAAUACCACACGCUUUUAAUCUUUUUAUAAUGAUUUGGAUUUAUUAAAAUAAUAAGCUAACUAACUAAUGUAGUUAGUCCUAUCCUAUUUUGUUGAGAAAUCAACCCGUCCAUUGUUAAUUCCACCAUAAUGAGAAAUUGAGCGGAACAAGCAAAGCAAAACAAAGAGCCUACGUGAAUUGAUCAAUGGAUUGUUAUCUUAUUUCACUCAUGAGAUAGAGAAUGUGGGAUCAGAUGACAAAUUGAAGGUGGUGUUCCAUUCUCUCUCUCUACAACAACGCAAUCUUACAUUCAAUACAUUCAUUCAUCAGCAAACAAAUUUCCACAAAACAAAAUUUCUUGCCGGUGCUUGGCACACGGUUGGAGGCAUGGGGAGGGGAUCUCACGAGAUGAUGAGUUCCAGUCGGAGGAGGGGAUAAGCAAGGGUUAGGCGCCUCUAUCUGGCCAUAAGGAGUCGCCGUUGCCGCGCCAUAACCUCGGAGUUCCCCGUGUGAGCCAUGGAAGCCCACCUCCACCUGCAAGUACUUCACUCCGCCGCGCCUUAUCCGCGCGCCGCUGCCGUUCUGCAUCGAGCAGACGCAUCAUCCCAAGUCGUUGUAGCUGUCGCGUUGAUUUGAUCCAGAAGCUGUGCUAGAGCGCCGAAACGGGGGCAGCAAGCGGGCAGAGGUACGACCGCGGAGGCGGGUGGGUUGAGAUCGACAGCAAUGGUGGUUGAGGUCGGCUGCGGCGGCGAGUGGUGUGACAGCGGCCUCGGCACAGGCCAGGGUGGACCAGGGUCGACGCGAUGCGCUCGAACGCCGCAACGGGGGCAGCGAGCGGGGAGAGGUACAGCCGCGGAGGUGGGUGGGUUGAGAUCGGCAGCGGUGGCGGUUGAGGUCGGCCGCGGCGGCGAGUGGUGUGGCGACGGCCUGGAUAUAAUUUUUGCAGCGAAUUAUUUUUUCCUUUUGCGUUGCAGAUAGAUGAUGAGGUGCGGGUUGAAUAACAAAAAUACAGGGGCUUUUUUUUUUAUAAAAAUGGCGUGGUGGUCGAUAUGUUACUUUUCACUAGGAGCAGCCUAAAACGCUGAAUAUAUCCGGCCGUAAUUCGAGGCAGUAAAAUUAUCACACGACAAUUUAAUUACUGGAGUACAGUACGUAGUAUUAGUAGUUAUUGUGGAGUGUAGUGGUUGGUUCCGGUGCUGGUAAUGACUUCACUGUAGCCUGCCUAGCUAGCCUGCCCCGACAUUUGCCGCAAAAAGAAGUAUUUUGUCCCGGCAACGAAACGCAGGCUGGUCGAUGGUGGAGCAGCGCCGCUAGCUGGCUGGCUUGGCCCUGUGCCGUCGUCUUCCUCCGAGGACACGGGAGGUAAUGACGCUGCCCAUCGUAUGCCCAGCCCCGUACCGAUCUCGCUGUCAGACUGGCAGUGCAUGACUCCAUGCCGUGAACACCAAGAGAGCCACUAGUGUGUUUGCGUGUGUGUUAAUUUCACGGCCGUAUAAACAUCGUACCCGUACCCAUGGUGGCUGGCAGUGGCGGAGCCGAGUGGGUGGCAUCGCAGUUCACGCCGGGGGCCUUGGACCCUUGCUCGGACGAGGAGACAGGCACGAGGAAGAAGAAAAGCCACGCGCACCGCAUCGCAGAUCACGCGCCAAAGGGAGAAAUCGGCCGGGCUGAUAUAGAUUACAAAAUUGUGGGUGGAGGCUAAACUUCAGCAUUUCCGAGGAUGGAACUUGUCUGCCAGCGCCGCAUAUGCGUGGUCGUGCUCUGCUCUCCCUGUGUUUGCCUUUUCUUCCUGAUUUCCUACGGCAGGGUGUGCCCUCUACAUGAUGUACAUAAAAGGGAAAAAAAAGAAGCGGUGUGCAUUUUUCUGAAGGAAAGUGUGCCGCAUCUUCUUCAUUUUUUUUAAUGAGGAUGUACUCCCUCCAUUCCUAAAUAUAAGUCUUUGUAAGAUUUCACUAGUGGACUACAUACGGAUGUAUAUAGAUAUACUUUAGAGUAAAGAUUUAAUUAUUUUAUUUCGUAUGUAGACCCUUAGUAAAAUCGUUUAAAAGAUUUAUAUUUAGGAACGAAGGGAGUAUAAGAAUAAUGCAGCGGCUUAACCAGUGAAGGAGGGCAGCGGCGAAGCAUGGUAAUUGGGAACGGUUUGCAUGAUAGCAUAUGUUGGCCCAGGGUGACAAGUUUAGCUUGUAAAAUUGAUGAAUCCAUUUCAGCUCAGUUUUUGCAAGGAUUUGCUAUGCUUGCAAACUAAACUUCAUUUUCUGGAGGACGAACCGUUAAGACUGGUCAGUGUGGAAUAACUUCGACCAUUAACAUGCAUAUGUUAUUCUUUUUUUUUUUUGCGAUGAAACAUAUGUAUAGAGUAACAUAUGUGGUGUCAUGUAACACUUCAUUCAUUAAAUUUUAUAUUAUAGACUCACUUUGUCUUCACACGUGUGAUGUUACUCAUAGUGUGAAUAACUAGUCAUAUUAUUUAAUUUAUAUUUUUCCUUAUUAAAUAAUUGUCACAUAAACAAAUUUAUUGAGUUAAACCUUAUGUUACUCCUGAAGUUAUUUCCUCUAUGGGUAGUAUAAUAAUGAGAAGUUUUUAAAGCUAGCUAAUAACGAGAGUUGUGGUCCUGUGCUUUUAUUAUGCCCACUUAUGGGCUGCUAUUUCGGCAGCCCAUACUCCUAUCUAGACAAUUCCUAUUUGGUGCAUUCCGUGGAAAAUACUCGCCCCUUCGCAUAGGCGCAAGUGACUCAACUUAUAUAAACGAACAUAUGGCUUGACGUUACUAUCAGGAUGCCGUCAUGUAUAAAUCGUGUGUCUGUUAACACUUGGCUUAUAUAUAAAUUGUGUGUUUUCGUUGUGACUCUCAGCUUACACCUGAUAAGCCGGUCCUUAGUAAGUUGUAUGGUAUAAAUCAGGGAAAACACUCGGCUUAUAUAUAAACCCAAUGUAAACUGUUAUAAGUCUAGUGUUUCGGGCACUCAGCUUAUUAAUUUUUUUUCUUGUAGUGCAUGUUGCAGAAAUUUAAACAUAGGUCAAGUAGCGAAUGAGAUAGGCCGGCCCAUUCAACGAAUAGAACAUGCUACAUGACCUGGAUUUUUUUAGCCUACUUCAAUUAGUUUUCAUCUCUUUUGAUUUCUUUCUGUUGUUUCUUUUAUCAGUAUUCUUUGUUUUUCCCUUUUUUCAAAUGUCUUCUUUCAAAUAAAUCUUUUGAAUUUCAAAAAAUUCUUGUAGUUUAAGUUUUCAUUUUUAAUUUCAAAAAAAAUAUUCUUGCUCAAAAAGUUAUUAAUUUUUUUAAACAUUCGGGUUUCAAAAAAUUUGCAGAAUCUUAGAAAAUAUCCACAUUUUCAAUAUAUUUAAAAACAAUACUAGCGAACUUUAAUAAAUAUCACUGUCUUAAAAAAUGAUUAGAAUUGUUUUAAAAAACAUGUUUCUAGAAAGCGUGCAAAAUUUUAAAAUAAGUUCAUGUUUAACAUAUGUUCUCAAAAUUUUAAAACCCGGUGACUAAAGUAACACGGUUCACUAAAGUACCCUCCUAGCUCGCUCGCUAGCAGUUCGCGGAUGGACCAGCCCACCAAGAUAAACCGCCUUUGUUUUGCAAGCCUUCUAUUUGAUGCAAAUAGCACAAAAUAGGAGGCUUCAUCUAACAGGUCACACCCGACACCAUGACAUGCAUGAGAUCCCGAGCCUACCACAACAAUUGUGCCCCUCCUCAAAAUUUGAUGGGGCCUGUCUACAGGUCGCUUGCAGCAAGUGCUAUCCUCGCCUCGUCUACAUGUUCGCUGCUCGCCUCUAUUGGGUUGCCCCGUGAAUCACACUUACCUACCAAUGUGCUUCUCGCAUGCCUUGAGCCUCGCAGCGGUGCGUUGCAAUCUCGUUCCUCUUAACAAAAAAACUUAUCAUGCUCUUUACUAUGGUCAACUUACAAAUUAAAAAAACUAAAUCCUGUGCAACAUUUUUUUGAAUUCCUAAAAUGUCUUAAUAAAUAUAUAAAUAAAUGCGUGACUUCCCGAAAACAUUGCAUAAAAUUUUGAAAAUUUUCGCACCACUCAAGAAAAUAUCAUAACAUUUAUUUAUUUUCACAUAUUUGAAAUAUUGUUCAUGACAAUACUAGAAAAUGUUCAUGAAAUUUUUAUGACAUUCGAGCAAAGUUUGACAAAAAGUGUUCUUGACACGUAAAACUUAUUCACCCCAAAUUGGAAAAUAUUUAUAUUUUACUUAUAAAAUGUUCACCAUGAAUUUAAAAAAUGCAACAUGUAUUAAUUUUUUAAACAUGUAUCUGAAAAAUGUUUAAUGCAUAUUAAAAAACCAUUCAUCGUGUAUGUAAAAAGAGGUCAACGUGUUGUUUAUUUGGUGUUUGUAUUUUUUAGUAGGUAUUUUUAAAGUUUAUUUGGAAAACAAGAAUACUUUUUUGAAACACAUAUAAAUCUGUAAAAAACACUGGGAAAUACAGAAACACCGGACCAAACCUUUCAAAACCGGACUCUAUAUCUCACUUCUAGGAAGACGUAAGCCAACGUCAUCUAAAGAGUAGCAUGGUUGUGUAUUUCUUCAAUCUGUUUUUUUCUACUUAUUUCAUUUUUUUAUUUUUUUUCACAAAAAUUCUAAAUUUAUAUAUUUCAUGGCGAAUUACAAAAAUUAUUUUGAAUAAUAAACAGUGUUAAAAAUGUUUGUGCAACUUUAGAAAAUGUAGAUAUCAUUUAAAAUAUAUAUUUUAGUGCGUAUGUAAAAAAUGUUUAACACAUAUCCGAAGAAAAAGUUGAAAAGGAUGGGUUAAAAAAGGUGGAACAUGUAUCUGGAAUAUGUUAAAUGAAUAUUAAAUAAAUGUUUUAUAUGUAUAUAAAAAUGUACAUUGUGUAUGAAAAAAUAAACACGAAACUAUUAUUUGAAAAAAUUAUUAAACAUGUUUAAAUCAUGUUACUCAUGUAUAUGAAGAAAAUGUACAAUGUAUGUGUCAAAUGUAGACAACAAAAAUAUACAUUCUGAAAAAAGGUUUGUCAUGUAGUUGAAAAAUGUGAAACAUGUAUACAAUUAAUGUUUCAUAUGUAUACACAAAAUUUAGAACCUACAUAAAAAAAUACUUAGAAAAAAUAUAUUAAAAAAAAUGUUAAUCACGUAUGUAAAAUUUAAUAAUCAUGUAUGAAAAAUGUUAUUGUUGUAUACAAGAAAUGAAUAUAUUUGUAAAAUUAUAGAUCGUGUAUUUUAAAAAUGUUUAAAAAAUGCUCUUUAUGUAUAUUAAAAGGUACAUUGUGUGUGAAAAAAUAGACAUGUGUUAGAAAAGGAAAUAGAAAAAUAGCUAAGUAAAUUGAAGAAAAUAAUGGAACAGAGUGAAAAGAUUAAAAAAACAAAGAAAAGAAAACCCAAAGAAACUAAUGUAAAACAGUAAAACUAUUGGUACAUUAUUGGUCCGGCCCUAAAAUGCUGCCUGUAGGCGAGAUGUAAUACAUCUUUUUACGGACAAUAUAUAGCUUACGCGCCCAAAAUCAUACUACUAAACAGUGGCCACCUACUUGCUACUGGGCCAUUGCCCGUAUAGGAAGCAUCCUAGAGGCAAGCUUUUGUUUCAUAGCGGCUAAUCACUGACAAUAUAAUUUCAGCUUAUGAAUUAUUGUAUUUUAUAAAGAUAAAUGGAUCAAAGAAUAACAAUUAUCGUGCUCUAAAGCUUGACAUGAUGAAAUCGUAGGAUAUAGUUGAAUGGUCACAUCUCAGGGUUAUCAUGGAGAAGCUGGGUUUUGCUCGACAAUGGAUAUCUGUUAUCAUCAGCAUGAUGAGCUCAUUAUCUUUUGAAACAUGUUCAAUGGAAUAAAAUCAAAGGAAUUUAAACCUACAUGAGGUAGUCGAGAGGGAGACCCUAUCUCUCCAUACCACUUCUUGUUAACAUCAAAGGUCCUUUCGUGCCCGUUAAAAGUCUCAAAAACAGUCAUCCUAGCUCAGCGGUAUCAAGAUGACACUAACGACUCCGUUGGAGAAUCACCUUCUUUCGUAGAUGACAACAUACUAUUUUUCAAGGCGAGUAUUAAUGGAGCUGAAGAGGUAUCAAACCUAUUGGAUAAAUAUUUCAUAGCGUCGGGACAGAGAAUAAAUAGAGAGAUCCUCAAGUUUUUUAAGCAAAGGCUCUCCGAAUGACGGAGGGGGGUUGAGUGAAGUGGGUAGGGUUUGGUCCGACAAACAGAUGAAAACAAAUAUAUAUGAAAUCGGAUGGACCAGCGUGGUCUGAGUCCGACAUGGCGAACGCGCGUGAACGUCCUAUAUCCGGAUUGAUUUUUCAUGAUCGAUCGAUGACCGUACCGUCUGCCCGGACGGACGCCAGGUUUGGGACGCGCGACUCUAGAUGCUCUUAGCACGAGCUAGUAGGUCAGGAAAUGGUAGUACUUUGUUUCAGAAGAGCAGUGCGCUGACUGUGUGCAUCGUACUGAGCUCUUCGGUCGGCAGUGGUCGAAAUGCAGUUGUCGUGGAUUGAAAUGCCUAAAAUCUCAAGUUGUGCUGUUCUUGGGCAAUUCCUUUUCCUGUUCUGAUCAAGAUUUUGCUGCCUAAAACAUCUACUACUCCUGUUAGUCUUGGCUUCAACCGUGGCAAACUAGCAGAGGAAGGCUAGCUUCCAAGCCUGCAUUGAAGUUAGAAAACCACACCCAACAUCCUGAAGAAAAGGAAAAAGACUGGACACAAAUUUAAGAACCACCGAAAGAUUCACUUUAUUUUGCACUUGUGCACUUCUGCAUCCACGAACGCGACAUGCUGCUUAUUCAUUCAUUCACACGACGACCCAAUGAACUAACUAGCGUUCAUGGGAAGACGCAGUAGGCGCCUCCAUGGAUGGUUGGCAGGUUGCACUGCCCGGGCAGGGCGAGCGUUCUGGCGAAGUCCCUCUUCACCUCCGCGGGGCACUCGGUCGCCAGCGGCGGCAGCUGAGGGGGCGCGCCUUGGCUUUGACUGGGAGGGAACGCCCGGUCGAUGAAGACGCGCAGCCCCUCGCAGCGGCAGUUGGACGAGAUGCCGGCCAGCUCCCGGCAGCACCAGUCCUUCAUCACCUCGAUGGGGAGCAGCGGCACGGCGCCGCAGGUCUGCGAGGCCACGUAGAAACGGCAGCCCUGGAGCGGGUUGACGGGGAGACCCAUCCCUUCGUAGCAGGUGUAGAUGCUGGUGGCGGUCGCGACGCCGGCCAGGACGGAGAAGAUGGCGACGGCUGAGAGGAGGUGCUGGCUGCAGGACGCCAUUGGCGUUUGCUGUGUUUUCUGUGGUGGAGUGGAGCACCGCGCUUGUGAGCUGGGGUUGCGUUUGCAUACACAUGUAUAUAUACUGAGACGAAUGAGUACUAGAGGGAAAAUGAAGCUGGUAAUAUUGGAUGUGGCUCAUGUGAUGGUGAUGAACUGGAGCGCAGUUGAUGGAUCUGUUGGAACAGAAUUUGGCUGCCGAUGUGUUAAGGGUCAUGUGGUGGUGAUGAUGAUGAUGAACUGGUGGGCGAAUCCGUUGGAACAGAAUUUAGCUGAUACGAUGAUGGAUGUGUGUUGCGUGACAUAUAUGUGAUCAUGAUGAGCUGCCGCGCAAUUGAUUAGUUUGUUCGGAGCAGAUUUUGGAGCGAAAUGCAAGCUGGGCAUUGCGUGGAGGAACAUUAAGAGAUUUCGCCCUUCCAAUUUUAGCUUUUCCAUGAACUUAAUUUGGAGGUAAAUGCAAGCAUAUAUGUCUGUUGGCACAUCAACACACAAGACAAGGAAAUAGAACUAGCCAAGCAUUUCCAAGUGACUGUCUCAAAGCGAUCCAGGUUCGCUGCCUUUGUGUGGCAAAGGUAGCGCCGCUGCCUUUCCCACGCGUAAGCAGUACGAUCUCGAUCAACGCUUCAGAUUGUGCUAUAGUGCAGCGUCUACACGAGCAAACAUCGAACAUGUGCACCUACGAACAGUUGGUGCGACAGUACAUCAGUCUGAACCAUCGGUUUCCCAUCGCACGCUUUCCAGUGGGUAGGUCAGGAUACUGUAGCACUGAACCACGCAAAGGCAGCGAAUCCGGAUACGUCUCGAAGGUAGAUAUUUUUUAAAGAAAUCUCGAAACUAUAUUAUCGAUUUUAUAAAUUGCAUUUCAGUGACCUUAACGGCCUUGUGUCGGCUGAAGAGGUAAUCUUCGGUUGGCGGACAAUGCCAAAGGGCUAGUUUUCAUCCGUGCCUCAAUUGAAGAGGACGUUUACGUCCAUGUAUAUAUCGAAUAUGGCCUUGCAUUGUGGCUCUUGCCGAAAAUCUUCUCUUCGGCCCCUCUUACGCCGAAUAGGGCUUCUAGGUCCACUCCCUCGCUCAACUUCUGAUUUUCGAAUGAAGUUGCAUGUUGUCCAUAUACAGGACGAAGAGUAGCUCUUCUGUGUUGUCGUAGAUGACAAGUCUUUUCUUUUUUCCUUUAUUACCUUUCACCAUUCCCUCUCACACCCUUUUCAUUCCCUUCAUCGCUCUCACGCCAUUUUUCAUUUGUGCCAUCCCACUCCUACCCUUUCUCUUCCCACCAUCACCUCACUUCUCCACGUCGCCCAACGAUUCGUUGUUGCUUGCUGAAUUGUUCAUAUGUGUUGUUUCAAAUUAUGUAUAUAAACAAAUUAAAACUUGUAAUAAAAGCUACAAAAGAACUAAAUUUGUACAACAAAAAAUAGCUAAGGUUAUACAAAAAAAAAGAACUAAGUUUCUACAACAAAAAUAAACUUAGUUUAUACAACAAAAAAGUCCAAUCCUAUUUGAUGUGCCUAUCUAAACUUGAAGUCUACCCUCCAAAAUCCACGGAGGGAGACACAAAUAAACAAAUUAUGCUCAAAAUGCUACAUUAGGAGUUCAUUUUAUUUAUUUGUCUCGCAUUCUAGACUACACUACCAAAUUAAGUUGAACUAAAAUCAUUAACAUUCCAGACAUUCAAAACAUUUCUAUUCAAAAUGCAUUAUUAAAUCGGAUUUUACAUCCGAUUAUCACUAAAAUUUCUACACAAAACAAUCCAUGAAAUCAAAUUUCGAUUCUAUAUAACACGAAGCAAUCCAUUAUAUAUAUGUACUAAAAUAUCUAUAUAAAGCAAUCCUAAAUCAACAUAUAGAUGAAUCCAACAGAUAUGGAAGGAGAUGCAAUGGGAGGGGAAGGAGAGGAUUCAACCUUGCUUGUUGGCGACGGGGCGACGACAGGCGGUGACGUCGCGACGACGGGUGGCGGCUGGUCGAGGGGUAGUUAAAAUGAAAGGGCAUGUGGACUAGGUCUUUUACUAAGGUGUGAAAGUUGACUAAGGUGGGCCUUUGCUGGCGUGGGUCUAAAAUACAACGCCAUAGCUAAUAACCAUCCGAAUAAAAGAAAGACUAAUUAAGUUUAAUGAAAUACUAGUUUAAAGCGGAAAUAUAAUGUCUCACGCAUAAUAAUUUGGCACGCCAGUACUAAUUAAUUAUCUACGGUGUGCACAGAAAUGCAAUGUCACCACUAUCUUUCAGAUGGUGAGUACAGAUAGGCCAAUAGAUUUGUGGCGUGUCCAAAAAUAUCCACGUCAGCACUUACCGUUUACAACUGGCGUACCAAUUUAACCGACGACGACGCUAUUUGAAAAAAAAUAGUGUUGACGUUGUAGGAAAAUGAUGCGUUAUCAACAAGAGUUGUGGCUAGUCAUUUCUUCACCAGUGGCUCCAUGUCGGCCGCGCCCUGACACCAAGAUGAUGAAGCCGACACGUCCGCUGGCGUCGCCGGGAGCGAGGAAGAGUAUAGCAUGGGAGACCACUCGUGCUUGGGUCCCACGAAUACCACUACACCUUCCCUUUUGUAGAAGCCAAGCUUGUCGGGCUCGUCAUCGUCGACUGAUUAGCUGCUUGCUCGCUUCACGGAGGCGGAGCUUCACUUUUUAGAGCUCAUGGCUGACCAAUGAUCAUUUAUACGGAGUUAGAUUAGGGUUUAGCUCAAAUAUGUCGUAAAGCACCUGGUUUGAUGUAAAUAUUAUUCAACUUUGAAUGAAAAUCAUUUGGUUUGUCUAAAUUUGCAUCAAAUUUGUUUAUGUUUUUUAAAUUCCUUUUGAAAUGUAACUGGACAAUUGUGGUUACGGUUGGAUGAAACGCUCCCGCAUCGGUGUCUGUGGAUGUUCUCAUUGGUCCGCGAAAAGAUGUGCUGCUCAAUUUAGAGCGUUGGAGAUGCCCUGAGUGAGGCGUAGAUCAAAAGAAAGCUUAGGAGUUAAAUUCACCGAUACUUGUCUUGUUUGUUCACUUUGAUCCAUGUACUCAAGAACUUACUCAAUAUGGUCACAACACAUUCAUCUUGAUGAUUAUACGGUCACCGUUUGAAUGUAGAGCUUCGUAUUUUCUCUAUGUUGACCGGUCGACUCUCCUCCCACAUGGGUCCCAUCUAUCAAUGAAUAAAAGAUUUUAGAAAGAAAGAAAAUGAUAAAAUAUGACGCAAGUGCGAAAUCAAACUGGAGACUUCACUGCUAGGGGUUGCACGCAUAAACCACACGACUAUGCAAGAACACACACAUGCUGGCACACACGUGCACGCAGUGGCGGAGGCAGAUUAUUUUAUAUGGUAUGGCCAAGGCAAGCUGCCAUGCAUACAACAACUCUAAGUUUUAAAAUUUCUUCCAACACCAGCGUGCAUAUAGCUUGAAUUUGACAUUUUUUAGGUGUGGCAGAUGCCUAACCUUGCGAGAUUGCUGCCUCUGUCGCUGCGUGCACGCAACAUAUGACACACACUGACACACGCAGGUAUGUUGUUUUUUUCCUUUUUAGGACCGCUAGUGCACGCUCACUAUAAAGUAACACAUGAUUCGGUUUUUUGUACAGCUCACAUCAAAAUAUAUUUUAUAAUGAUUUUUUUUCUUGCCGGUGAUUCAUAUUCAUAAUGAAUAUUAAAUAAAUGUUUUAUAACCACUCACUACAAUUACUUGUGUAUUUAUUUUCAGCUUUUCUACAUUAUUUGUUUUUGAUUUUUUUUUAAACAUGAAGCCUGAGAGCCAAAAAGCCUCACUCGUUUAUUAGCAAUUUAGCAUACUAUAAACAUAUUCAUCCUAAUAAUAAUGCAAGAACGAUAGAUAAUGAAAAAAACUUUUUUUUGCAAAUCAACAUAGGGUUUUUAUUCCAUAGUGAUAGUGUUACAAUCAUCAGCGACUAAACUACGGAUACAUGGAGGUGGGCGCCCCAACCAGCAGGCUGUGCUAUCCCCACAUCUACCAAAGUUCGCUAAACAAUGUGCAACCCUAUUCUGUUCUCGAAGAAUUUUGACAGGAACAAAAGCCCUAAUGUUCAUAUACUCCCUGAUAUCCGCCACCAAAUGUCCAUAAGCUGAUCUGUUGGGGGAAGCAUCCGCAAUCAUCUUGAGUGCCUCUACACUGUCGGAUUGAAGGAUGAUUGUAGCUUGCGAAUGCUCCGUUGCUAGCUUGAGCCCUUCUUUGAUUGCUUGCAGCUCAGCCUCAAGGGCAUCAUUACAAUGGAACAGCUUACGGUAUGAAGCAAGUAUUACCGCCCCUGUACUGUCCCGCAAAAUCAUGCCCGAACCAGCCGAUCCAUCUACAGCCUGGAAUGAUCCAUCAACUGACAGUGCUACCUCAUGUUCUGCCGGGUGUGGCCAAACCAGUUUGCGCUUAGGAACAUAUCGGUGAACUGCCUGAUGCCCCAUAUCGAACACUGGAGUCUUUCCUUUCAGGAUCUCGUCAACACUUAACGAGAUAUGUUGGUACAUAUUAUAAUAGUUAGAAAGAAAAGACCGGGAAGUAUCCACCGGGGGGUGGUUUUGCCAUGCAUAAGCUCAUUCCGAAGAUGCCAUAUCCGCCAAAGUACCAUAAUGAUCCUGCUCCUGAUGUGUUCAUGUGAUUCAGCAAGCAAAUGUAGUAACCAUUCUGAUCCAGUGCAUGGAAUAUUCACCCGAUUAGGUAGUGGCCACGAGAGCUGCAUUGUAUCCCACAUUAGAGCGGCAUUAGGGCAGACCAACAACGCAUGAAAUGACGAUUCCUCCUCUCUAUCACAGAGACUACAGUGGCCGGAGUUCCCAAUGUGACGUCUGAACUUUUCUGCAUUUGUGGGUAGAGAACCUGAGAUAACCUGCCAUGCAAAAUGCCUCAUCUUAGGGGGGGCAUCAGCACUCCGCACCAGCUUCCAGAUCGGGCGAUCGCCAGUGGGUGCAUCGCUUGCAGAACCCGGAUUAACCUGGUCCCUUACCGAUGACAUAGCAAAAUGAUAGGCACUACGGACUGUAACAUUCCCAGAUUUAUCCCAAGGCCAGGAGAUAAAGUCUUCCUGUUGGUUAGAGGAGGUGCGUAUCUUCAGGAUGGUAUCGAUGUCUCAUUGGCAGAAGUGUUGGUGUAGCAGGUUUAGCUGCCAAUGCCCCCGAUCAUCAAGGAAGUUCUGGACUCUGUUAAGCCGGCAAUUCCGUUUAGGUAGAAUAGGAGUAAACGGAGGGCCCCUAGGAAUCCAAGGAUCCCUCCAAACUCUAAUGCUUGCCCCAUUGCCAACCCGCCAAAUCAUUCCAUGUUUAACUAGUUGCAACCCGUGCUCAAUGCCCUUCCAAACUGCUGAACUGUUUGCUGGGAAAACUGUGUCCAUUAGACUGCCAUUAGGAAAAUACUUUGCUCGGAGGAGUCUAGCGCAAAGCGAGUCUGGUGAUGUUAAAAGUCUCCAAGCCUGCUUUGCUAGCAAUGCCUGGUUAUAGGCGCACAUAUCUCAGAAACCAAUACCUCCUUGGGCUUUAGGAAGUGUCAUGCGCUCCCAAGCAACCCAAGCCAUCUUCUUCUUCCCAUUCUCCACUCCCACCAGUACUGUCGCAUCAUUUUAGAAGGGUCAUCACAAACAGAGAAAGGUAGCUUAAAGAUGCUCAUGACAUAGACCGGAAUAGCUUGGGCCACAACUUUUAUAAGGACCUCCUUGCUCGCAAAGGAAGAGUAUUUUUCACUCCAAUCCACCAAGCACUUACUCAAUCUGGAUUGCAAGGAUUCAAAGCGUCCUUCAUGCAUUCUCCCUUCUGGUAUUGGUAACCCCAAAUACUUUGGCUCAAAUUCCUGCUGUGUGAUACCUACGAUCAACUUAAUCUGCUCUGCAACUUCAGAUGGACAGCCUUCGGAAAAUAGGAUGGAGCACUUAGAGGGGUUAAUAAGUUGACCCGUAGCUGAGGCAUAAGUGCUCAAAACAUCCGAAACAAUCGACGCCGAAUCAGUAGUUGCAUUGAAGAAAAGCAGUGAAUCAUCCGCAAAUAACAAGUGUGAGAUAGCUGGAGCUCUUCUACAAAUUUUAAUAGCUUCUAGUCCCCUUUGUUGGACUGCCUUAUUUAACAGAGAAGAUAGGGAAUCAGCCACGAACAGGAAUAAAAAGGGUGAUAACGGGUCACCUUGCCUUAGACCACGUGAGGGUGAGAACUGCUCCAGAAGACGUCCAUUAAACUUCACUGAAUACCGCACCGACCGUACACACUCCAUGGUUUGUUUAACCCAUUGGGGAGCAAAACCCCAUCUCAAAAGUGCUUGCUCAAGAAAGUCCCAAUCAACCCGAUCAUAGGCCUUUGAUAAAUCCAGCUUGAAAGCACAAAGAUCCUUGUUCCCUGGAGAAGUCUGGAUAUGGUGGAUGCACUCAAAGGCAAUAAUGGAAUUGUCUGAGAUUAAUCGACCUGGGAUGAAAGCACUCUGAUUCUCAGAAAUAAGCUCUGAAAGAAACGGUCUGAGCCGAUUUACCAUGCAUUUUGACACUAUCUUAUAUAUCACAUUACAUAAGGAUAUAGGGCGGAAGUCUUUAAGCGAGGCCGGGUGUUGGAUCUUUGGGAUCAGAACAAUGCUCGUAUCAUUAACCCCCUCUGGCAUAUGACUAGUAAUGAAGAACGGUCGAACAGCUGCAAAGAUUUCUUCCUUCAGGAAACUCCAGUUUUUCUGAUAGAAAUGGGACGGAAAACCAUCCGGGCCUGGUGCUUUCAACGGGCCAAUUUGGAAUAGCGCAUCGGAUAUUUCUUUGUCAGAGAGGGGUGCAAGCAAACUCUCAUUCAUUGCAUCCGAUACUUUAGGUUCUAUCACCGCAAGAGCUGCCUCCGGCACUAUCGUAGGGUCCUUCGUAUAUACUUCUUUGAAAUAAGAUGCAGCCAUACGUUCCAUAUCUGAUGGGGAAUUGCACCACGACCCAUCAAACUUCUGUAGUCUCCGAAUAUUGUUUUUCCUAGCUCGCCACACCGCUUGCCGAUGGAAGAAGUUUGUGUUCCGAUCCCCCUCCUUCAGCCAGACAAUACGGCUCCGUUGCAGCCACAUCAUCUCCUCCCGAUAUAAUAGCUCGUCCAUGGUUGCCAUCUUCUGACGGAUCAGAGUACGAUCCAUGCUAUUGAGCUGCAAAGUUUCUAGUUAUGUACGCAAGCUCUCGAUUUGCUUCUGCACCUGUCCAAAGUUCUCCUUGCUCCACUUCCGAAGAUCUGUCAUGACCGUCUUCAGAGACGUGGCCACACUACCCAAAUAACCCACAGGACGUGAUCGCGACCACGCCCGCGAGAUUAUGUCCGGGAGUGUUUUAUCUCGCUCCCACAUGAUCUUGUAUUUCGGAGAUCCUUUGCGCCUGCGAUCCUCGGUGACAUCCAGGGCAAGCAAUAUGGGGCAGUGAUCGGAGCGUGGGGAAACCAGAUGUUGCACCCUCGCAUACGGAAACUCCUCCCGCCAUUCUUCCGUUGCACACGCCCGGUCUAGCCUCACCCGGACAUUACCCUGCCCAGUCUGACCAUUAUCGUAUGUGAAAGGUGCUCCCGAAAAUCCCAGGUCCAUCAGCUCACAGACGAACAAGGUGUCCCGAAAAGCUUCCAUCUAGUUCUCACCUCUGGUGGUCCUGGAGAAGUGUUCAUGUUGCCAAAGAGCCUCGUUAAAAUCUCCACAAACUACCCACGGCAGGGCCGAGAUCCCCUUUAAUCUGAUCAAAUGUUCCCACAUAUACUGGCGACGUUCAACACGUGGUUCCCCAUAUACGAAGGUGGACCUCCAACUUUUCCCAGAGCCUUGAUCUACUAUACUGGCACCAAUGUAUCUUUUGCAAGAGUAAAGAAUUGUCACUUGGAGGGAUUCAUCCCAAAAGAGUGCAAGACCACCCCCCCUUCCAUCACAGUCCACACCACAAAAACCUCUCAACCCUAGCUUCCACUUCAUUCGUUCAACUUUCGCACUUGGCUGUCUUGUUUCCGCAAGAAAGACCAAGCUUGGGGAAUGGGCUUUUACAAGAGCCCCAACUUCACGAACUGUUCGACGGUUCCCCGACCCCCAAUAGUUCCAAAAUAGGUGACUCAUUGGGACUGGCGGCGCUCCGCCUGGGAGCCCGCCGAAAGAUUUUCAGAUGUUGAUUGUUCACCAGCUAUCUUAGCUCGUUUACCACCCGAGCUGUUGCUCGGAGACGUUGCCUCCCCCGUUUCUUUACCAUCCGUGAUCAGAAGCCGUCCUCCAGCAGGGAUAGAUAAGCCCUCUACCGGGGGAGACACUACCCCUUCCUCCAUGUUUAGCCGCUUGUGAGAUGUCUUGUCGAGAUCCAUUCUAUGGUUUGGGAUGGUUUAUGCGGACUAGACGUCGUGUCCUUCAGGUCCCCGUCACCCAGUCCUCCUUCCUUCCUUGCUGUUGGUUUGGGAAUUGAUAGAUCAGCAUUUGACUUUUUCCCACUACGGUUCCCCUCCCAAUCCUGACGAACACGGCCCGGAGGUUCUGCAUACAGAUAGUCACCGAAUUUCAGAUCUUUCUCUGCAAACACCCCAUUGCCGCACUCCUUAUGCUCAUGCCCAAUGAUUCCACAGACACUACAAAAUCUUGCAAGCUUCUCAUACCUCACCGCAUACACACUUGGUUCUUUCCUUUGACAAUGCUAACAAACCUAGUAAGGGGCCUCCUGAUAUCAUGUCUCACCGUGACCCUCACGUAAUCCCCACGAGAAUUACCAUUAAUCCUGGUUUCUAGCACUUCUCCAGCAGAUCGCAGGAGCUUCACGAUUAGCUCGUGCCUGCAAUAUCCAGCUGGCAACUUAUGGAUCUGGAGCCAGAUUGGUAUAUACAAUAUCGGCACCACUUCAGCUUUUGUGAAUCCAUCAUACUGAGUUAAUAAGACCGCCAUGUUACGGAACAGCCAUGGCCCUUGGUCCAUGAUACGAUCCCAAUCACCAAGGCAAUACACCUGAACCACAAAAAGGUUGGGGCCUAUUGGCCUGAACCGAACAGCCUAGGAGCAGUUCCACGCUGCGCGCAUCUCUUUGUAAAAGGCAGCUUGGCUGAAGGUCUUCGUGGUUUGAACCCUAGCUAGGGCUAUCCAACGAAUUUCGUUUAGCAGCUCCGGGGCUUCCUCUUCGACGACAACAUCCUCGAAUUCCUCCUCCUGCAGAUCUAACUUAUCAAAGAAAUCAUCCAAGUCAUCAUCUUUCCCUUGGGAUCCACGAUUUGUGGACGAGAAAGCGUCUGACGUCGACGCCAUGACGAACGGCCGAGAACCUGCACCACGCGCAACCCUAGACCCCGCCGGCCAGGACACGGAGGCGAAGGGAGGGGAGUUUUGGGUGGAAGGGUUCGGCGAUGAUCAAUCCGUGAGACGGCAAGAUCGAUGGUAAGGUGGACUUGCGGCGGGGAAUCGCCGCAAGGAUAUAAACCCUAGCCUAUGCUAGGGGAGAGUUGGCGCCGUCGAAAAAAAAAACUUAAUAGGUGAGAGCAGAGAGUACGAGAGGUUAAACAUUCCCGAAUUAUUCUCUUGAUUAAUACUGUUCAUUGCUAUUCAUUUAAGAUAAUUAAAUGUUCGCUGCGUGCCCCUAAAAAAAGUGUGUUGUGUUCGUAUAUCUUACCUACUAAUAAAGCAAAUAUUGCUUCUGUCGUACGUCAUUUAAAUUGCCCCUAAAGUUGACUAAAAUUAUCCACCAAUGCCACCUAUAAGUCAUAAAAAACGUUUCAAACAGGAAAAUCUCCGGACUGGGCCGGCCCAUGUAGGCACCUCCUAUAUUACGCUCUGGGCGUUAGAAAAAGAUGCAGCACACCUGUUUGGGCCGGCCCAUGCGUGGGUCCCUGUUUUUUUUUGGUUUAGUUCUUUUAUUUUGCUUUUCAGUUCCAUUUUGUUUUGUACUUUAAAUAAUUUAGAACUUCAAAUAAUUUUUCUAAAUUUUAAGAAACUGAUAAUUUCGAAAGAAAAUAUUCAAAAAAACAUAAUUUUUUUAAGAAUUCAAAAACAACUCAGGAGUUUUGAAAAAUGUUUGCAUAUACAAAAAAAUGUUUAAAUUUUGAGAAAAUGUCCAUAAAAUAUAUAAUUCAAUGAUUUUAAACAAAAGUCCGUGUAAAAAUCUUGAAAACAGUUUGUGCCUCUGUUUUUAGUCUCUUUUUUUUUAAUUUUUCCGUUCCAAUUUUUUAAUUUAAAUAAUUUAGAACUUUGAAUUUUUUUUGCAAUUUAUAAAACUGAGAAUUUUGAAAUAGAAGUUUGAAGAAAACAUAAAAUGUUUGUGAAUUCAAAAAAUGCUCGGAGUUUUUGUAAAAAUAUUUGCAUAUUCAGAAAAAUGUUCAUAAUUUUGAGAAAAAUCUUGGUGAAAACAAUAAAAGUUCAUGAUUUUCAAAAAAAAACUGUGUAUUAUUUUUUGAGUGCAAUUGAAAAAAAUGUUUGCUAAUUCAAAAAAGUUCAUGCAUUUCAAAAAAUGUCUUAAAAUUUAAAGACAUAACAUGAUCAGCAUCAUUGAAGAUUUAAUUGUUUUUCUCCCGUUGCAACGCGCGAGCUCUUUUGCUAGUUGAAAUAAAAGAGAUUGCUCAGUAGAAAAGAAAAAAAGCAUGUCGUGCGCAGCCGGUUAGCGCGAGUGAAUCUGGCGGUGCAGUCUCUGGUUCAAAUCCCCACUUUCCCAGGAAUUUAUCCUUCUCUUUAUUCUUUUCUCUAUUCACUGACAAGUGGACCCAGAUGGGGUGGGGAGUUAAUUUUUUUUUUUGCAUCGAAUGGGGGUGGGGAGUUGACCGGUCAACAUAGAGAAAAUACGAAGCUGUACGUUUAGAUGAUGACCGUAUAAUCAUCAAGAUGGAUAUAUAGUGAUCAUACUGACUAAGUUCUUGAGUACAUGAACCAAAGUGAAUCAGCGAGACAAGUAGAGUGACCACGUGUAAAUUUUACUCAAAGCUUAAAAUAGGAGAAACAUAAAGAGGCAUUUUGGCUCUCGGUGCACAUGCUCCUGCAUAAACAGUAAUAAAAAAUAGUAAAUAUUUAAAAAUAGUAAUAUUUUUUAUAGAUGUUUAUGUUAUUGUCGCAAGUAUGCUUCACAAUUUUCAUGGGAAACGGAGCAGUGCGAGAAAAAAAUUAAGGGUGAAUUUAGGUGUAACAUUUGGUGUUUGAUUUUCUUUUGCACCGACCAAAAUGUGCCUAACCUUUUUACCUAAAAAUUUAUAGAUAGCAUCUGGAUGGACUAUGAACAUAUAUAAUUUUUGUUCGGACUUUUUGACAUUUCAAAAAUCAUUUCCAUGCACAGAAACACGUGCAUCCAGGAGCCAAAUUGGAUUUCCGAGAAAUUAACCUGUUUAAUCCUUACCAUUUCACAAAGAUUUACCAUUCUAGAAUUUUUGCCGGGUGGCCGGUGACGUACUUGCCAAUCAAUCGAUCAGUGCCACUCGAGUGCCCGAUCACAAGCAUUGGCAAGAUUGGCAAGUAAUCACUUGUUAUCUUUUAUCACGAAUUAAUAGCAGAAUCUUCAGUUUCACGCACAAGAUGAUCUCCCCCUCAUCCCCAGCUUUCCAAUACGUAGAACCUACCCUUAAUUCCAUGCUUGAUGCAGAAGGUAAUUAAUUGCACAUAAUUACUGCAGCAAGCUGGUAAUUAAUAUUCGUCAAUAAUCAGCACUUCAUAUCAUAUCCUGGUUUGCCAAUUCGUCUCACCAUUAACUUCGGCAAAAUCCCCUAUUAUAUGUAUCCACGCAUAGCAAUUAGCAGCAGAAGCAGCAGCAGCCAAUCCUUGCAUUGGGAGUUGAGCUCCACAGUGAUAGGUCACAAUGCCUGCGACGACGACGGCGAUAUCUCGUGUCCUUCUGCUCGUCGGCGUCGUCCUGACGGCCCAGCUGUGCGGUUGCACGGCGUACGGCGGCGAUGGGUUUAGCGUGGAGUUCAUCCACCGCGACUCCGUCGGGUCGCCGUUCCACGACCCCUCGCUCACCGCGCACGACCGCGUGCUGAAGGCGCUCGGGCGCUCCUACGCCCGCGCCGACGCACCGUCGGCCCACGGCGUCGUGUCCGAGCUCACCUCCACGCCGUUCGAGUACCUGAUGGCCGUGAACGUGGGCACGCCGCCCACCCGUCUGCUCGCCAUCGCCGACACCGGCAGCGACCUCGUCUGGCUCAACUGCAGCAAGAAGGGAGCCCACGGUCCUGGCCCGGUGUUCGCCGGCGACACGCCCACUCCCCCGCCGCCGCCGCCGCGCGUCGUGUUCGACCCCUCCAAGUCCAAGACGUACCGCCUCGUGGGCUGCGACUCCGUUGCGUGCCGAGAGCUCCCGGACUCCUCCUGCGCCGCCGGCGACAAGUGCACCUACUACUACUACUACGGCGACGGCUCCGCGACGAGCGGCCUCCUCUCCACCGAGACCUUCACCUUCGCCGACAACGCCCGCGGCAAGCGGACGACGCGCGUGCCCAACGUCAACUUCGGCUGCGGCACGACCUUCGUCGGCUCCUUCAUCGGGGACGGCCUCGUCGGCCUCGGCAACAGCAACCUGUCCCUCGUCACGCAGCUCGGCGCGCACGCCUCGGUCGGCCGGAGGUUCUCCUACUGCCUCGUGCCCUACUCCAUCAACGCC